AGGAAUUGUAGGUGACCACAUCAGGCUCUACACCUCUUUGAACCAUUACAUUGAAUGUAUUUUGAGCCUCUGAAACCAUUCCAUCCUUACAAAGAGCAUCGAUCAAUACAUUGAAGGUAUAAACAUUUGGUAAUAUGUUUUGCUCCACCAUUUCAUUCAUCAAGGCCAAAGCUUGGUUCUUUUGGCCUAAUUUGCAAACACCAUGAAUUAAACUAUUGUAAGUGAUGACAUUAGGUGAAAUGCCCUUAUUCCUCAUUUGAGAGAAGAGCUCUAAAGCCUCACUAACUAGCUCAUCCUUGCAAAGAGCGUCAAUGAUUGCAUUGUAUGUCACAACAUUUGGCUCACAACCUCUAUCAGCCAUUCCCUUUAGUAGCCCAAUAGCCACAUUUGUUUUCCCAAAUUUACACAUUCCGUUUACUAUCACAUUGAAAGUACGAACAUCAGGUUGAUAACCACGUGCAACCAUAUAAUCGAAAAAUUCCACCGCUUUAUCGAUUUUACGCUCCAUACAAAGCCCAUUAAUUAAGGUAUUAAAUGUCACAGUGGUAGGCUCCAAUCCGAAUUUGAGCAUCUUACCAAAAACAGAGAAGCCAAAAUCCACAAGGUGCAAGUGGCAGAAACAAUUAAUUAAGAUGCUAAGAGAAUAAACAUCGUGUGAGAUUCCUAGCAAUUCAAUUGUUUUGGGCAUGGAAAAGACAGUGUGAUAUUGUUUCAUUUUCACAAGGGCAGAUAAGAAUCUACUAAAUUGAGCCCUAGAAGGAAGAGGAUGCUUAUGAAUUACAUGAUUGAAGGAAGCAAUGGCAUCAUGAAGGUGGGUAAAAGAAGCAGAUUUGAAGUUAUUUGUCAAGAAGCGUGCAUCUUCAAGUGUGGAAGUAGAAGAAUGGCAAUAAUUGGUAAAUAAGAAUAGGAAUGGAGAUUGAAUGGUACCAAUUGCCCCUUGUAGCUGAAGAUGGAAGCUCCUGCUCUUCCUCCUCGAAGGCAUCUUCAUCAUCAUGGAUCUCUUGUCAGUUGUUUUUAGGGAUGGAUCGGAGAUUGGGAAUGAGGAAAGGAAAUAGAGAAUCGGAAAAGGAAGGCUCUCUGCCAGCUGGUAAUGUGGUAAGGAUAAUACCUCGUGUACGUUAAAUCAUAUUAUAAUCAAACUAUUUUCUACACCUUCAUUUUGAGAUUUCUAAUAGAUACUCAAGUAUUAUAGGGGUUGUCCACAAUCAACCAUCGGGUGUUUAUUUAUUUUACAAAUUGAUAUCGAUAUUAUACCCAUCAAGAAUGUCAGGAUACUUUCACUAAAAAUUAUUCUUGAUAUUAAUUACACUAUAUUUUAUAUAUAUAAAGUAAAACCAAACUUUUUUCAUAUUGUUUAAAUGAAAGUAAAAUAAAGAUUUUUUAUUGUUUUUAUAGCAAAUCCUUUUAUUAUUGAGAAAAAACUUAAAUUUGAUUCAAAAUUCUAGACUAUCUCUUGCUAGCUGUAUUAGAGUUGUUUAUUUCAUUUUUUUAAUUUCAUAAAUGAUUUUGCUUUUUUAAAAAAAUUAUUAGUUUUUUCCUUUUAUAAAUUAAAUGUAUAAUUUUUUUUCUCAGUAGAAAAGUUAAAUUUUUAUUUUUUUUUAUUUUUUAUUUUGCAAUAUAUAGACAAACAAUCCUAUUUAAUGUAUAUGUUUAAUAAAGGAAUAGCUUAGUUACAUUGAAAAGUGAUAUCUUAAGCAUUAAUUAUACAGUACAAAUUACGUAAUGAUUUUGUGAAUCAUGCUGUAAGCGAAUAUAUAUAUAUAUAUAUGAGUGCAAUUGUGUAGAAAGUGAAUUAAGAAAUUAAUUUGCUUAUUGGUAAAUUGAUAUUUUUAAAUAGGCUUAUGAGCAUUUAAUUUUUAUAUUUUGUCAAAAUUGACCAUUUAAUUUUUUAAUUCUGUCAUUUGGUUAAAAUAAACUUUUAUAUUAUUUAUUUUUUAAUUUUAUAUAUAUAAUUUAAUUUUUUAAAUUAAAGCUAAAAAUAUAUUUACUAAUAUUUUAUUCGAUAAGAAUAUGAAAGAGUUUGAAUUUAUAAAAUUCAAAAUGUUUUAAUUGAGUGAUUUGAAAAUAGAGAUUGAAUAAUUAAUUUUGAUAAAAUAUAAGGAUUUAUUAAUAAUUUAAAUAUAUAAAAAAGAAUUAUUUAAAACUCUCUAAAGUUUCAUAUGAUAACCCCUUACAAGUUUCAGUAGUUCAUCAAACUUGUCAGUAGUGUAAAUAAGUUCGAUUGGCCAUUAAUUUUGGAGUCGAAAUCACUAUCCUGAAACUGUUUAAUCAGUUCUUGUAAUGCUGGAAACUUCAGAUUCUCUACUGAGAUUUAAUAUUUUUUGCUCUCGUCACCCACGUAAAUGGCUACAUAACCUUUUCGAAUUUAUGGGAUUUUAACUUUCAAAUCAGUCGAAUUGGAGAAUAAUUUAUAGGAAAAAGAUUAAGUAAUUGUAUAAUGUUAAUCUAAAAUUUUAGGAAGAAUUUAUUUUCUUGCUAAAAACUCUCUACAAUGAUAUUAUUAUCAAAAUUUUCUAAGUUAAAGGAAAGGUUUGAGUGUGAAGAACUCGAAAGGAAAUUAUAUAGGAGAGAAGAGUAAUUGAGAUUUAAUUUAUAUAUAUGGAUAAGGAGUGGAUUUUUAUGAUAAAAUUUAGAUUUUUAGCAUUAGCUAAAAUUUUUUAGCUGGAUUAAUUUAUUAAUUGGUUUAAAAAAAGUUGCAAAUUAAAACAGUGAAGAAGAAUCUUUAUUAAUUAUCGAAUUAUUUUCAUUUUAAUUUAUUAAUGGUAAUUGCUAAAUAUGGUAAUUAAGUGAUGCUUCAGUUUAUAAUUUUGAGAAUAAAUAAAAUUUCUUUGAUUUUAUGAUUUUAAGUUUCUUAAGAUGGUAGAAUUAGUUUAUAGGUCAGUAGAUUUUUUGUAAGGAGUUUGAAAUGGUUAUAAUAAAAAAAUUAAAUAUUUUAUUUUUUUUAUAUCAACACGAACAUUGUUAAAAAUAACAAAAUUAUUAAAAUUAUUGAAUAAAUUAAUAAAAAUUAAUAAGAUUAGCUAAAAUUAAUCAUGAGUGAAAAUAUUGAAUAACAUAAAAAUUUUGAUUUUUUCUUUUGUUAUUUAAUUUUUUUUAAAGAAAUGAAGAUAACUAUUUUUUAACAAAAGUGGGGCCAUUGAAACUAGAAUUAGCUGCUUCGAUUCAAUUUUUCUUUUCCUUUUUUGUAAAUGUUAUGUAGAUUCCCUUCAUUUUUUUUUUCUUACUAGAAUUUAUUUUCUUUUUGUAGUUUAUUAACUAUCAUACAUUACAAAAUAAUGUUUAAUGGAAAAUUUUAAUUAUAGUUUUAUUAAUAAUGAUGUUUAUAUUAAUUUUAUAUUAUUUAAUUUUAUAUAAUAAGAUAAAUAAUAGAAAAAUAAAAAUAAAAAUACCUUAUAUAUAUAUAUAUAUAUAUUUAUUUAUUGAAAGGUUAAUUUAUGUAAGAGUUUUUUUAUAAUAAAGUUAUAUAUUUAAUUUAAUUAAAAUUAUAUUUUUUUAAAAUAGAAUUUAUAUUUAAAUAAAAAAAAUUCUAACCGAUUAAAUUAAAUAUUUUAUUUUUAAUCAAUUAAAAUAAAGAGUUACUUAUAAUUAUUAAAUUUAACCACCUUUUAUAUUGAAAAUUUCAUUAUUUCCCUUUACUUUCCAUUUAUAUAAAUAUAUAUGUGUAUAUUAUUAAAAAUCAAAUAAUCACAGAUAAAAAAAAUAAGCGAUACACAAAUUUAAUGUGAUUAAUCAAUUUGGCAAGAUCAUGACGAUUAUUUUUUUUUUUAUUUUUCUAUGAAUUUUUGAAUAUAAUACACUAGAAAAAUAUUAUAUUUUUAUAUGUCUAAGAAAAUAUAAAAAAGAUAUAAUAGUUUUAAAAAAUUUACGAUCAUGGAGUAUAAUGUAUAUUUUAUAAUAUAUUAUUAGUUUCCAUAUCUCAACAUAUAUAUAUUUUAUAAAAUAAAAUUUAUAAUAAAUAGAAAAUAAUUUUAACCAAAUAAAUUAAAUAUUUUAGAGAAUAAUUUUUUUUUCAAUAAAUCAAAAUAAAUAGUUAAUUUUACUUUAUGUAUAUAUAUAAUAAGUUUUAGUUUAAAACUAAUAAAUUUAAAACUAAAUAAUUUUAAUUAAAUAAGUAUAUAUAAAAAUUAAUUCACAAACUUGUAAAAACCAAAUUUUUAAAUAUUAACGAUCCCGAUGUCUGCAAGUUUUAAAAGUGUAAUUAAACUAUAUAAAGUUAAAUUUUAAAAAACUAAGAUUGACUUGUGAAAGUAUAUGUAGAGUUUAAACUUAUUUCUCUUAUGAUAUUAAUCUCAACCUAUCACGAGAACACCUAUCUGAUUUGGAGUGAUACACUCUGCUAAUUUCUUCUGGUGCUUCACAUUUCUUGAUUAGUGAUCAUUAAUCUAAUUAAUAUUAAGUAAUCAUAUAGAUUUUACACACUAAUAUUUAAAAAUGUCUCUUUUCUUCUGAAUCCAAGGACCAUACUUACAGAUUCAAGCUCCGGAUUCAAGGCUCUUCUUCUCCAAUACUCUGCAUCGUCAACCAUCAAUAAAAAUAGCGCAGCCAGAAGCUUGACUGCAUUUGCAGUGAAUCUUCGCUCAGCUGAAGACUCUUGAGACUUUGUUCUUCUUCACUGUGUCAUUUUGAGACAAGAAUCAUUUUGUAAGCCAAUUACAAGAAAAGCUAUUUUUGAGGCAUAACUGUACUAAAUAAUCUGCAACUAAAUUUGCUUUUUUGUAAAUUUUAUCCCUGUACUUUAUUGAAAUAUAAGAUUUGGUCCUUAUAUUUUUAAAUUCUACUAUUAAGUCCCUAAAAAUUUUGACAGAAAAAUCAACAAUUCAGUCCCUACCAUCAAAACAAGAGUUAACUUUCUCUUAAAACUAUUAAAAAAUGACCAUAAUGCCUUCUAGUAUAUAUUUUUAUAUUAAAAUAUUAAUUUUUAAUGAUGAUUAGGAUGCUGACGUGAUAUUUCUGUUAAAUCUAACAUCAAAUUUACUGGUAGGUUAUAAAUAAAUUUAGAUAGUUAGUUUAGAGUAUAUUAGUUAAUUUUUAUAAUUUAGAGUAUAUCUGUUAAAAUGCGAAUAGUUCAAAGUUUUUUUUGCCACCAUCCCUUUUGCAAAUUGAUCUUGAAUACUUAUUAUAUAUAAUCUUAUUCAUAAAUAGUUAUAAUAUGUAAGGAUUAAUUUGUAAAAUUAUAGAAAUUAUUUGUCAAUAAUUAAUGUUGGAAAGAAUCCUCUGCCAUGAUUGUAAAUCAAUCAGUGAUCCUCUGUCAUGAUUGUAAAUCAAUCAGUGAUCAAAUCUUACCAUGUUUAGCAUAGCACAAUUCUAGGACAUAAUUGAGGGCACAAUCAAAGGUCUAAUUGUUCAUAUUAUGUACUAUAUAAACUCUGUAACUUACUACACAAGAGGUAAGAAAAUAAAAACAGUUUUCUUCCUAUAAUCUCAAGAUGGUAUCAGAGCGGGUUUGGGUCUAAAAAUAUAGUCAUCCUGCAAUAAUCCUUUACCAGAUACCUUUCCCAACUUCUUUCUCUCACCAAAACAACAAUGGCCGACCUUCCCAGCCCGGUUGACCAAUCCCAGGCAAUAAUUGAUCCAAUAGCAGACCUGUCACAAAAACUAUUCCAGUUAAUUCAGAAUAGCCAAGAUGGAAAUCAGAAAUCAGUGAACCAAUUCACUCUUGAUUCAGCACAGCCACCAUCCGACAUAAAAUUGAAUGAUUCCAAUUAUGUUGUAUGGGCAAAGAUGAUGGAGAUGUUUAUCACGGCGCUACAAGAAGCCGCGAAAGGAGGAGGCACAUGUGUCCCUUAUGAUCGAGAAGGAGGUAUUUUAGGGUUAGAAAGGAGGGCAAAUGACCUUUCUACCCCUGUCUCUUUAAAUAAAUCUAAAUGUGCCUCUGCUUGUUUUAAUUCUUGUAAAAUUAAAUCCCUGGUCUCGGAUGUUUUAGAUAAGUUUGGUUGUAAUCCCAAAACUGAAUCGUUAGCCCCUAAUUCUAUCGGUCAUGCUAACAAGGUACAAAAUACUAAUGGGUGGAUAUUUGAUUCAGGAGCCACAGAUACUAUGACUAAUGAUUCUUCAGAUUUUGUUGUGUCAGCCCCACCCUCAAAAUCCAAUAUUCUAAACGCUACCGGUGGCUCCUUCCCGGUCAUCAGUGGUGGUACCGUUUCUAUAACCCCCACUUUAAAUGUCUCCAACAGCCUCUAUAUACCUUCCUUAUCUUGCAAAUUACUCUCUGUCAGUCAGAUCACCAAACAGUUAAAUUGCAGAGUACUCAUGUAUCCUCAUUUUUGUGUUUUGCAGGAUAUUCAUACGGGCACGGUACUGGGCCGUGGUACUGAGAAAGAUGGACUAUACUAUGUGGAGGAGGUCUCAAAUACUGGGUCAGCUCAUUUAGCUCAAGGGUCCUCAACCCGACAGUUAUGGUUCUGGCACCGGCGCUACGGCCAUCCCUCAAGUGAUUAUCUUCGUACUUUGUUUCAUGAGUUUAAAUCCAUUGACAUUUCAGUUUGUACUUCAUGCGUGCUUGCUAAGAGUCAUAAGAGUACUUAUCAUAUAUCCACAAAUAAAUCUGAUACUCCCUUCUCAAUAAUACACUCUGAUGUAUGGGGGCCUGCCCCGGAAACUGUCUCCCUUGAUUAUAGAUACUUUGUGACUUUUAUUGGUGAUUGCACUCGUGUUACUUGGGUUUACCUGUUAAAACAAAAAAGUGAAGUGGCUGAGACAUUCUGUGAUUUUUUCCGCAUGAUUAAAACCCAAUUUUACAGGACCAUUCAAGUCCUCCGAUCUGACAAUGGGGGGGAAUUUGUCAAUAACCAUCUCCAAACCUUUUUCUGGGAUAAUGGGAUCCUUCACCAAACUACUUGUCCUUAUACACCACAGCAAAAUGGGGUUGCUGAAAGGAAAAAUCGACAUAGCCUUGAGACUGCCAGAGCCCUAUUGUUUGAAGCCCAAGUUCCUCCUAAGUUUUGGUCUGAAGCAGUUGCCACAUCCAUUUACCUCAUCAAUCGACUUCCGUCUCGCGUCCUUAAUUUCCAAUCUCCCUUGCAUACCUUGUCCUCUCAUCACACCAUCCCUUCCCAUCUCAACCUUCCACCUAAAAUCUUUGGCUGCACAGUUUAUGUUCACAUUCCUAAAACACACCGCACUAAACUUGAUCUAUGUGCUCUUAAGUGUGUUUUCUUUGGUUAUGGUGUCCAUAAAAAGGGCUAUCGGUGUUUUGACCCAAUCUCUAAACGGCUCUUCACUACCAUGGACUGCACUUUUCUGGAAGAGGAAUAUUUUUUUCCCUCGCCAACUAGCAGUGAGGGGGAGACAACGGCACAAUCACCACCACUGCCAAAUUGGCUUAGUCAAGAGGGGCCAUAACUUGAUCAUUCUUCUCUUCCUGAGUCUAUACCAGAACUGGGAGACACCAGUCAUUCUUCCCUUCCUGAGUCUACACCAGAACUGGGAGACACUAACCAUCUAGUACAGUCCUUGGAAUCAACAUCACAACCAGAACCUGGCACCGUAGAAUAUCCUGAGGAACACACAACUGAGGUAUGUGAAUCUGAACUUUCUCCUGUUCCUAAUAACCUCACCACUGAACCCAUUUCCCUUGAGGUUCUUGAAACAGGCCAAUAUGUUCUACCCCCUCGGAAUAAUAGAGGAAUUCCACCCAGGAGAUAUGAUCCAGAAUUCGAGGCAGCCAGGUCCAGAUACACUGGCAAACGUUACCAGAGGAGAAAGACUAUCACCUCAGUUGGUCAACUACAGAAAAACAUUUGCUCAGAAUGGAUACCAAAGGAUGCCACAGAGGCCCAAAAGGACAAAAGAUGGGUUGAGGCAAUGGAGAUCGAGAUGGAUGCCCUGGAGAAAAACAAGACCUGGGAAAAAUGCUGGCUACCCAAGGGAAAACAACCAGUGGGAUGCAAAUGGGUGUUUACCAUAAAGUAUAAGUCAGACGGAACGGUGGACAGAUAUAAAGCUAGACUUGUAGCAAAAGGAUAUACUCAGACUUAUGGAGUUGACUAUUCUGAAACAUUCUCUCCAGUAGCAAAAAUUGACACAAUACGGGUCCUAUUCUCUCUAGCUGCAAACCUAGACUGGCCACUUCACCAAUUUGAUGUGAAAAAUGCUUUCUUGCAUGGUGAUCUAGAAGAGGAAGUAUACAUGGAUGCUCCACCAGGGUUCAUGAGUGGAUAUAGAAGGGGAGAAGUGUGUUGAUUGAGGCGAGCCUUGUAUGGGUUGAAACAGUCACCCAGAGUAUGGUUUGGGAGAUUUACUCAAGUAAUGAAGAAAAAUGGAUAUCGGCAGAGUAACUCCGAUCACACUCUAUUCUUGAAGAGGCAAGGAAGGAAGAUCACGUGUUUGAUUAUAUACGUGGAUGACAUGAUUAUAACUGGAGACGAUGUGGACGAAACCAAACAACUGAGGGACAACUUAUUCCAAGAAUUUGAGAUGAAAGACCUAGGGAUUCUAAAAUAUUUUCUUGGAAUCAAAGUUCUCAGAUCAGACCAGGGAAUUUUGAUAUCACAGAGAAAGUACAUUCUUGAUCUGUUAAUUGAAACAGGAAUGAUAGAUUGCAAACCAGUCGAUACUCCGGUAAUGGUCAAUCAUGAGUUAAGUAAGGACUCAAAAGAAGGACCCACAGACAGGGGGAGGUACCAGAGACUGGUAGGAAAACUGAUUUAUUUAUCACACACCAGAUCAGACGUGGCAUAUGCUGUGAGUUUGGUAAGUUAGUUCAUGCAUGAUCCAAAACAAGACAAUAUGGAGGCAGCAUUGAGAAUCGUUUGAUAUCUGAAAGGAACAGCUGGGAUGGGCAUGUUGUUCAAAAAGAAUGGUCAUUUCAAUAUCAGUGGAUAUACGGACGCAAGUUGGGCAGGAGAUCUCUCCGACAGACGAUCUACUUCAGGAUACUUUACCUUUGUCGGAGGAAAUUUGGUAACGUGGAAAAGUAAGAAACAAAAGGUGGUGGCACUGUCAAGUGCUGAAGCAGAAUUCAGGGGAAUAGCAAAAGGACUGGUAGAACUCCUAUGGAUCAGAAAGUUGAUGUUUGAGCUUGGAUUCCCAUCAAAGGAUGCAGCUGAACUCCAUUGUGACAACAAGGCGGCAAUAAGCAUUUCUGAAAAUCCAGUUCAGCAUGAUCGAACAAAAUAUGUUGAAAUAGACUGACAUUUCAUCAAAGAAAAGUUGGACAGUGGUCUGAUAUCUUUACCGUUUGUUCGAUCAGAGGAUCAAUGGGCGGACAUCCUAACCAAAGCAGUAGCUGGACGAAUAUUCCAUGAGGUUUUGGGCAAGUUGGGUAUGCUAGAUCCACAUGAACCAACUUGAGGGAGAGUGUUGGAAAGAAUCAUCUGUCAUGAUUGUAAAUCAAUCAGUGAUCAAAUCUUACCAUGUUUAGCAUAGCACGAUUCUAGGACAUAAUUGAGGGCACAAUCAAAGGUCUAAUUGUUCAUAUUAUGUACUAUAUAAACUCUGUAACUUACUACACAAGAGGUAAGAAAAUAAAAACAGUUUUCUUCAUAUAAUCUCAAGAAUUAAAAUAUUCAGAAUUAAUUUGUAAAAUAGAAGGAGUUAUUUGUAAAUAAGUAUAUUAUUAGGAUCAACUUGUAAAAUUGUAGGUACUUAUUUAUAAAGAGUAAAAACUUUGUGAUUAAAUUUAUAAUAAUAUUAGGAUAAAUUAAAAAAUAUAAAAUUUAAAUUAGAAGACUAAACUAUAAAUCUAAUUAAACGUAUGAAAUUUUAUUGUUUUAGAUGAAAAUAUAUUUUAGAGGGUAUUAUGAUAUUUUUUAAUAGAUUCAAAAGUCUUAAAAGUUUAAAAGGAAUCGUAUUGUAAAGAUAAGAAUCAAUAUAACGUCUUAAUUUGUAUCGAUAAUGCAGUGAUUUUACCAUUUGCAAUUUUUAAUAAAAAUCUGUUGGUAAAUAAAUUAUCUAAUUCAUUGUUAAAAAGUUCGAUGGUAAAUUUUUAUUAAUAACUUUUAAGUCCGUUAAUAAUACUAAUGGAUUUAUUAAUAGAGUUUUGAUUAUUAUUAAUAACAGAUUUUAAAUCUGUUAAGAGAAAAAUAAUUUACUAAUAAACGUGAAAUCCGUUAAGAAAUUACCAACGUAUUGUAAUUCUUAGUCAAUUUAUUGAGUUUAAAUAAUUUUUUAUUAAUUUAAUAAGACUUAAAAUUAUAUUAUUAUUGUUACUAAGUUUUUAAUUUAUACCCAAUGUGUAUUAGAAAUACAUAGAAAGUGAAAAUAAGAGAAAAGUAAAUGGUAUAAAAUGAGAGAAAAUAAUAAAAGAGAAAGAAAAAAGAGAAAAAUAAAGAAAAUGAUAGAAAAAUAAAAAUUAUGAAAAAGAAAGAAGAAUGAGAGUAGGGUAAAAAGAUGAUUAGAGAAACAGAAAAAAAAGUGAACAAAUGAUUGGAGAAGAAAAUAAAUAAAGAGAAAAAAUAUAGAUGGAAAGAAAAUGAUAAAAGAAAUAAUACUAGAAAAACUAAUAUGAAUGAAAAUUAUAAAGAAAAUAAGAAAAUAAUGAGAAAAUGAAAGAAAAAUAUGGAAAAGAAAAUGAAGAAAAUGAAAGAAAAAUUAUGAAGAAUGAAUGAAAAUAAUAGAAGAUGAAAGAGAACGAUAGAAAGUAGGAUAAGAGAUGAAAAAAAAGAAAAAAUAGAAACAAUAAGAAAAAAAAAACUUAUAAGAUAAAAAAGUGAAAUAAAAAAAAAUAGAAAAUGAAAGAAAAUGAGAGAAGGGGAAAAUCUGGAAGAAAGUAAAAUGAUAAAAUGAAUGAAUGAUAAAAAUAUAAAAGUUGGUGUUAUAUUUAUAAAUGCGAAUUACUAAUGAAUUUGUAAUUUAUUAUUAAAUUAAAAAAAUAACUUUUUUCUCUCCAAAAAAUUAUCAAUAGAUUUCAAAUUUAUUAGUAAACCCGUUAAUAACCGAAAAAUAUAAAUCGUAAAAAAAAAAGUGAAAAUUUAUGCAGAUUUUAUUUUAAAUUUACCAAUUGAUAUAUUAGCGAAUAGCAUCCAUCCAUAAAUUCAACAAUUUUUUUUAUGUAUUAAUUUAAUGAUAAAAUUUAAUAAUAGAUUUUUAAAUUCGUUAGUAAUUUUUUAGGCAAAUUACUAAUAUAUUUAGAGUUCGUAAGUAAUUUAAACACUUUUUAAAAUUUACUUAGGAUGUAAACAAACUGAGCAUAACCUAGUUUUGAAGAGUUCAAGUUUGGUUUGUUAAAAAUUUUUCAAACUCGAGCCGAACUCAAGGUUUAAUCAUUUCGAACUCAAGUCGAGUAUUAAUAAUGUCAAGCUUACUCAUUUAGCAAAUAAACUUAGAUGAGUCGAGUUUUUAUCGAAUUUAAUCUUGAAUAAUUCACGAAUAGUUAAAUUUAUUUACAUAUAUAAUGAAUUUUAUUUUAUGAUCAAAUAUAAUUUAGUCACAUUUUUAUUAUCUUUAUUACUAUUUAAUUACACAUUUUUUCAGCUUAAUUUAUGUUUUUAUAGUGUUUUUGCGGAAAAUGGAGAAAAUGGAAAGUUAGAGAAAAAGUGCAGAAAAAACUGGGAAAUUGAUUGGGUCAGAGUGAUUUGGCCAAAUCACCCGCAGGAAACCAAAACAGAAGGCUAAAGGCAGAAACCUGGAAGUAAUUCACAGAAAUGAUUUGGGCAAGUGAUUUGCCCAAAUCACACUAACGCUAGAGAGACCAAUAACGCGGGAAAGAAGAGCAGAAAAUCAAAAUUCAAAAGUGGAGAAGUCCAAUCCUACUUCAAACACUACAAAGUCAAUUCCAAGAGCCACGAGAAGGUCUUUCACUCAAGAAAUUCCAUUCACAAUUAAAUACAAAAUCAAAAGAGAAAUCAAAGACUACAAAAGACCAAGUCAAAAUUAGGAUUUUCAAACCCUAAUUGGACUAGGAUUCUCCAUCUAUAAAAGGGACAGCAUCAAAAACAGCUAGGGAGAUCUCUCCACAGUCGGAAUUUCUGCAAAAACUCGGCAGAAGCACAACAGCCUCCUCUCUUUUCUUUCUUCUUUCUUUUUUGUGAUUUUGUCCACCAUGAGUGGCUAAACACCUUCUUUUCUAGUUGAAGUUGGGAAAUUUCAGAUUUGUGAUGAAUUGAGAGAUUUAAAACUCUAUUAUUAAACUCUUAUUUAUUUUCAAUAUUUAUGCAACUUGAUCUUUCUAUUAUUAUUGCUUUGCUUUUAGAAUCAAUUAAGGUCUAUUACUUUUAAUUGCAUGAGUAAUAUAUUGUUUGAAUGAUUUAGGUCCGUAAUUACUUAGAUUGUUUAAACUCAAGUAUAAUCGGUUGCAUAAUCUAAACUUGACCACGCGGUUGGCAAGGUUAGAAUUAGAUUUCUCUAAAUCUUAAGGCAGUUAACAGUUGAAAAGUAAAAAAAUCCCAAAAACGUUUAUUGGCAACUUGUUAACUAGUGUUUAAUUAGCAAACAUUUCCUAAUCAUACUAAAACUAAGGAGAAAUUUGGAUUGUGAGAAACGUCUUCCACAUCUUAAACUAAUUUAUUGAAAUAAAUAGGGGUAUCAAAAAGAUCAAUGAUCAAUUCUAAAUAAGUUGAAAUAGAUCCAUACUUCAAUUAGAAUCCUUCUCCCAUUGAUUUACUCAUUUAUUUAAUUACUGCUUUCUUUUACUCAAUUGUAAUUCUUCAAAACAAAAUGCCGCCUUUUAUUUACUUUUAUUAUUUAUUUGUCCAAGUCAUUAUUAGGAAAAUUCGUAUUGUCAAAUCCAUGUGGUUUGACCCUAUUGUCACUAUCUACAAAUUAUUUUAUUGAUUGAAAAUAGGUUUAUUUUUUACGGUUUCGACAACCGCUAUCACUUUAAAACUAAUAAAUUUAAAACUAAAUAAUUUUAGUUAAAUAAAUAUAUAUAUAUAAAUUAGCUCCUAAAUUUAUAAAGAUAAGAUCUUAAAUUUUAACCUCUAAAUAUAUGCAAGUUUUAAUAGUGUAAUUAAAGUAUAUAGAGCUGAAUUUUAAAAAAUUUAAAUUUGGUUUAUGAAAGUAUAUGUAGGGUUUAAAAUUAUUUUUAUUAUGAUAUUAAUCUCAGUCUGUUUAACGAGACUACUCACAAGUUGUUCGUGAGCCUGUUCAUGAACUCGAAAAUGAACUGACAUCUUGAGUCUUAACGAGCCGAAUAUUAUGAAAUUUAAACUUGACUCAUUUACUAAAUAAAUUUAAAAAUUAAAUUUGAGCUUGCAUCAUAUAGAAAUAAAGUCAAAAUCGAUCAAGUUUUUAUCGAGUUGAAUCUCGAAUAACUCAUAAAUGGUUUAAUUCAUUUACACCCCUAAAUUUAUUAACAGAUUCAAAUUAUCAAUAAAUUACCAAAGAAUUUAUUAACAGAUUUUAAAUCUGAUAGGAAAUUUCAACACCAAUUAUUUUAUAAAUUUAUAAAGUUUUACAGAAUUUUUAAAUCCGUUAAUAUUAAUUUCAAAUUCGUGGUGAAUAAUAAUUUAUAAAGUUUUAAAGAAUUUUUAAAUCCGUUAAUAUUAAUUUCAAAAUUGUGGUGAACUUUUACAUGAUUUGUUGGUGAAUUUUUACAUAAUUUUUUUAUAUUAAGAAUUAAGAUGAAUUUUUAAAUUUAUUAAUAAAUUCAUUAAAUUUACUAAUGAAUUAAAGCACUAAUAAAAUCUGUUGGUAAUACGAAAAUAUAAAAAUUUCUUGUAGUGAAAAUUGUCCGGACAAAAUAUCUAUAAGUGGAUUGUGUGGUGCUGUGCUCUUCAUUAUCGGUAGAUCUACGAGGAGCUGAGAUUAUUGCAUAUAUAUAUAUAUAAUGUAUUCGAUUAUUUUUAUAUUUAAUAUUAUUUUAUUAAUUUUAUAAAUUAAAUUAUUCAUAUAACUUAAACAUAAUUAUUUUCCUUUUAAUUAUUAAACAAUUAUUAACAAUAUUAAAAAAUAAUCAUAUAUUCUAAUUAAUUAUUAAAAAUUUCUAACAAUAUAUAAUUAAAUAAUUUAAUUAAUUAAUUUUAGUGUAUUCUACCUAAGUAGAUUAUAUAUGUGUGUGUAUUUUUUUAUAUCAACCAUAAAUGUAUUAAUUAUUUUGUAGUUUUUAAUUAUAUAAAUAAAUUACGUAUUAAUAAUAUAAUAUAUUUUUAUAUAUUAAUUAUAUCUAUUUUUUAAUGAAAAUUAUAUAAUUAAUAACUACAUAAAAUAAUAAAAUAUUCUUAUCCAGAGUUAUAUAUAAUAUAUAUUAUAUUACUACAGUUAUUAUUAUUAUUAUUAUUAUUUAAUAUUAAUUAUUUAUUAUUUUAAAAUAAACGUAAAAGGCUAUUACGAUUUUAUUUGUAAAAAUUAAAAUUUAAAAUGAAACAAAAUUAAAAUUAAAAUAAUAAAAAAAAUUGAAAUCAAAUUGAGACUACUGAAAUUACUUAGAACUAUACUAAAUUUCAAUUCUAAAUAUGAUUCUACAUAAAUUUAAUUUGGUUCUGUUUCUUAGCAAAAACUAUAGCUUUUCCUUUUAGCAUGUUGCCUUUUAUGAACUUGUUCAUAAAUAAAUUUGGACAAAAAGUCCUGUUAAAUAGCUGAAGCUAAACUAGCAUUUUAAUCGCUAGUAGGACCAAUUGCAGUUGCUUAUCUCAGUGGCUGCAUGUCUGAUUUUCAUCCUCUUCUUUUGCUUAUAAUUUCUAAACCAAUCAGCAAGUAUCUCUAACAUGCCCAAAAGCUUUCCAAAAGUCUCAAAAUCUAUAUGAAACUCUUUCCUCCACUCCCAACUUUCUAACUUCCUAACUUUUCUUUUAAGAAUGAGGAGGCUGAACAUAUAAUUAUACUAAAAACAAACUCAUAUCUUUAAUGAUGCUUUAAAACACCAAGUUUAUCCCAUAGUUUCUUCAAUCUUCUAAAGUAAACAACAACUGAUAUAGAUUCUUGACUGAAACUACUUAUUUCUUUCUUUAAUUGGUGUAUAAGUUGCCCAAAUCUUUCUUUAAAGCAAGUGUCAUAGUCACAGACAUACUCCAAGUCGAAUAAUUUACUAAAUUUAAAGGUGCAGAUAGAUAUGAGAAUCCUACUUGGAUUAUCUGAGUUUUAAAGAGUAGAAGGAUCUGAAUCAUUUUGCAAUUGGUUUCCUACCUCUCAAUAUGUACCCUGUCAGCCCCACCUUCUCUAACAAACCAUUUUCCAUGGAUGCAGUCACAAAAACUUCAAGAAUGAUGCAUCUUGCAAAAAGAAAAAUACCGUGUACAAACAAGAGCCCAAAGAAAAUUUUAUUGAGUAUAUUACAAGGUUUAGAAAGUGGUAAAAACAUAAGAUGUCUCAUUAUAUACUGCUGAAAGGAGAAAAGAAACAACCAAAACAUCUUUUCUUGCCUAACUUAACUAACAUCUCAAACAGUAAGAAACAAUGCGUUUCACAUUCAUAACACCACACAAAUGUAUCGCAAAAUGCACCAUAUAAAUAACUCAAAUGGUGGUCCAACACUAAAAUAUAUCCGUUAUAUACCAUAUUGACAAAGAGGAUGUUUGCUUUUCCCUCAAUUCCCAUAACAUUUUCUGUUGUCUAUAAUUUUAGUGACUUUUCAUCCAACCAACAGCUGUAGAAGUCUAGUGAUUUUCUUACCUUGUAUUCUGGGACUGUAUAUCCUGCGCCCUGCAUUUAUAGUGUAGUAUAAUUGUUAAAUCAAUUCUCAAUUAAAGCACACCGGUUUAUAAUCAUUAGUUUCAUUAUAAUUAAAAAUUAUAAUAACAAAGCAAAAAUGAAUUGCUUAUACCUUUAUGGUUAGAAAGGUGAAGUUGUAGUCAUAUCCUUGCAAGUACCUACAAGAGAAAUGAUAGCAUUUUGAAAGGUCAUUGAGCACAAAAAUAAAAAUAGAUAAAGAUUCUUAGGCAUUGUAGUAUGGAACUAAUUAGUUUUAGUUCUCAACUCAAUGUUAGGACUGAGCUCUCGAGUUAAGGCUGUAGUAGCAGCAAAAAAAAAAAAUUGUAAUGGAGAUGGUGGGUUUACCAGCAACGUGAUGAUUAGAAAUCCAUGACCUCCAUUCAUCAACAAUCUUAUAUCAAAGAGAUCUAGUCCAUGUCAGAAUUCAAGCGAAAGGCACACACAUAUCAUGGUUUUCACCACAGGUCAUUUGCAGUGUUAGAAAUUUUCGUUUUGUGGAAGAGAAUCACAGCUGAUUGAAAUUAAAAAUGAUAUUUGAAGAAGUUAGUUAAAUUACAUAUUCUAUUAUAUUUGAAAAAGGUAAUUACCAAGUUGCGCUCCAAGACACACUUGAAUGGUCAAGAUAUAACAACUUUAGUUUGCUAAUCCCUCAUUGCGCACCUUUAAAAGCCUCAGAAUGAGAUUAUUAUUCCGCGAUAAAUGUACUAGCAAUUCUGUGGUAGCAUCAUCAGCAGUGAACCCCCUUAUCAACCAUUUCGGUGAUUAGUUCUGAUGCUUUUGGUAAAUCCUCAUGCAUGAGAAACCCUUGAAUGAUGAUAUUAUAACAACAAUUAUUUGGUAAACAUCCUACCUUUUCCAUGUCUUUAAAUACGUUAUACGCUUCAUCAAUUAAUCCUUGUUGGCAGAGUCCUUUCAUAAUUGCAUAAUAUACAUAAACAUCAGGUUGUAAACCAAUUUCAAAAAGACUAGAAAAAAGUUCCUUGGCAUCAUUAAUCUUCCCAACUUUGCACAUACCAUUGAUCAGACUGCUAUAGAUCACAACAUUAGGUUUCAACUGACUUUUCUCCAUUGCUUUCAAUAGUGUGAGUGCCUCAUCGAGAUUCCCCUGUCUACACAAGCCAUCAAUCAUAAUUGAGAAGGUUACUAUAUUUGGUUGUUGACCAUGAGAGCACAUAUCCUUAAAGAGCUCUUUUGCAUUUUGGGGCCUCCCUGCUUGAAACAUACCCUCUAUAAGAGUAGAAUAAGUAACAACAUCAGGAACUAAACCUUUAUGAGACAUUUCAACAAAAAUAUCCUUUGCAUCAUCUAUCAUUUUGCACUUGCAAUAUCCAUUGAUCAAAAUGCUGUAGCUAAAAAUGUCAGCUAUUUCAUUGGUCACCGUCAGAUCAAAUACCUUUCUAGCCUUAUCAAUUUGCUUGCACAGACAAUAUCCAUCCAUCAAUGAAUUAUAAUUGACAACAUCAGGUUCCACACCUCUUUGAAUCAUUAUCUUGAUUAUAUUCUGUGCAUUUGAAACCAGUCCUUUCUUACAAAGAGUGUCGAUCAAUAUAUUGAAGGUAAAAACAUCAGGGGAUAUGUUCCUCCCCACCAUUUCUUUCAACAAGGCCAAAGCUUCCUUGAAUUGGUCUGAAAUGCAAAGACCAUCAAUUAAGGAAUUGUAGGUGACCACAUCAGGCUCUACACCUCUUUGAAUCAUUACAUUGAAUGUAUUUUGAGCCUCUGAAACCAUUCCAUCCUUACAAAGAGCAUUGAUCAAUACACUGAAGGUAUAAACAUUUGGUAAUAUGUUUUGCUCCACCAUUUCAUUCAUCAAGGCCAAAGCUUGGUUCUUUUGGCCUAAUUUGCAAACACCAUGAAUUAAACCAGUGUAAGUGAUGACAUCAGGUGAAAUGCCCUUAUUCCUCAUUUGAGAGAAGAGCUCUAAAGCCUCACCAACUAGCUCAUCCUUGCAAAGGGCGUGAAUGAUUGCAUUGUAUGUCACAACAUCUGGCUCACAACCUCUAUCAGCCAUUCCCUUUAGCAGCCCAAUAGCCACGUUUGUUUUCCCAAAUUUACACAUUCCGUUUACUAUCACAUUAUAAGUAUAAACAUUAGGUUGAUAACCACGUGCAACCAUAUCAUCGGAAAAUUUCACUGCUUUAUCCAUUUUACCCUUCAUACAAAGCCCAUUAAUUAAGGUAGUAAAUGUCACAGUGGUAGGCUCCAAUCCGAAUUUGAGCAUCUUACCAAAAACAGAGAAGCCAAAAUCCACAAGGUGUAAACGGCAGAAGCAAUUAAUUAAGAUGUUAAGAGAAUAAACAUUGUGAGAGAUUCCUAGCAAUUCAAUUGUUUUGGACAUGGAAAGGACAGUAUGAUAUUGUUUCAUUUUCACAAGGGCAGAUAAGAAUCUAUUAAAUGGAGCCCUAAAAGGCAGAGGAUGCAUAUGAAUUACAUGAUUGAAGGACGCAAUGGCACCAUCAAGGUGAGUAAAAGAAGCAGAUUUGAAAUUAUUUGUCAAGAAGUGUGCAUCUUCAAGUGUGGAAGUAGAAGAAUGGCAAAAAUUGGUAAAUAAGAAUAGGAAUGGAGAUUGAAUGUUACCAAUUGCCCCUUGUAGCUGAAGAUGGAAGCUCCUGCUCUUCCUCCUCGAAGGCAUCUUCAUCAUCAUCGAUCUCUUGUCAGUUGUUUUUAGGGAUGGAUCGGAGAUUGGGAAUGAGGAAAGGAAAUAGAGAAUUGGAAAAGGAAGGCUCUCUGCCUGCUGGUAAAGGAAAUGCAUUACUCUGUCGUUUAUAUGCACCACAUUUUGUAAUUUUUUAUUAAAUUUUCAUAUAAAAAUAUUAUUUAAUAGCAAAUUAAAUUUAUCAUUUGUAGAUACCUAAUUAAAGGCAGUUAUAUAAAUUGUUAAUUUUAUUUUUAAUAUUAAUAAAAUUUCAUGAAAAAUAUAUUUAAUUUUUAGCUUAUAUAAUUUUUUAUUAUUAAUUAUUUUAUUUUAUUAUAAUAAAAUUAAUUUUUUUACCAAACUUUACUCUUAUAGGAAUUGUUUAGCGCAUUUUUAUUUUGACAUCUAUUUAGAUAAUAUUACGAUUUAAUUAAUGUAAUAAAAAAAUUAAUAUAUAAAAUUAUUUCAAAAUAAUAAAAUUUUGAAAUGCUCAAACUCACUACAUAUAUUUCGCAUUUUCAAUUUUAUUUGUUAUUAAUAUUAACGUAAAAUUAUAAUAUAUAAUUUUUUUUCUAUAGAUUUAAUAUACAGUAUAUUGUAUUAUAAAUUAUAAGAAAUUAUUUUUAAAAUAUGAAUAAUACUUAUGUACAAAAUAUCAUAAAAGUUAAAAAAUUAAAUUAAAACAUUAAAAUUCAUUAAAAUUAUAAAUAUUUUAUUUAUAUGAUCACAUAAUAAAUUUUAAAUUAAAAAAUUAAAUUAAUGUGUGAAACUAAUCAUAAAAAUAUAAAAUUAUUAGCAUGAAUUAUUUAUUCGGAAUUUUUAGCCAAAAACUCAGAUAUCUAUCAUUAUAAAAUUAAUACUUUUAAUAAUUUUUUAAGUAGAAAGUUUUAAAUUUUAGUUAGUUAUUUGUUUUAGAUUAUAAUGAAUUUAAUUUCAAUUUAAAUUAAAAAGUAAUAUAGUUAAUUAAUUAAAUAUUUUUAAAUAGCAAUAAAAUACAAUAAAUUUAUAAUUAUUAAAUGUAGUUUGACAAUUUAAAUAAUAAUAGCUUCUUAAUUAUUUAUAUUUAAAUUAUCAUUUUUAUAUCUUAAAUUCUAAGAUUAUCUUUUAUAGACAUGUAUAAGAUAAACUAAAUUAUAUAUAUAUAUAAAGAAAACUAAAUUACUCUCCAAUCUUCAUGUUAUAAUAUUAUAUAAUUAAUUAUUUUUACUAGUUUAAAAAUAUGUUAUAAGAGAGACAACACACUUAAUAUAUCAUAACUUAUAUGAUUCUGAGCGAUACAUUCUACUAAAAAAUAAAAUUCAGAUAAUUAAAGGUGUUUAAUUUUAGAGCCAAAAGAUCGAAAAACUCUUGAGUUUCAUCAUUCAAAGUGUUAAAUGGGUGUUGAGACCUUAAGAUUUCAGCCUUAAAAUUAAUAUCAACAGGAGGUCUCAACCGCCUUUGAAAUCCAAGGAUUAUAUGACAGUCAACUCAAGACUGAAACCCAAGGGUAAUGACUAUUGAGUUGAAGGCUUCGGCCUACUAAGCCAAAAUCCAAAUAGACGAUAUUAUUCAAAUCACGUAAAAGUCGUAUGAUAAUUAAGACUUCAAAUCACAUAUGAGUAAAAAUGUUCUCGGAGUAAAAUUUUACAAUCUAGAACCAAUAUAGAUUUCAAAUAGUCCUACCAAGAGUCGACCAGCUUUAGAUCUAAAAGACACCUCAAGUAUGUUAAGUUAUCUUUUAAUCAAACCAUUCUCUAUACCUUUAUUUUGAGAUUUAUGAUAGAUCACUUACUAAUUUAAGUAUCAAAAAGAUAACCCACAAUAAUUCAUAUCUGAACGUUAUAUCUAUUGAGCCUGAGAAGAUCAAUAUACCAUCACUAAAAAUGGUUAUUGAUAUUAAUUGCACUACAUUUUACAUAUAUUUUAGGACAAAUCUAUACAUGGAUUUAUCUGAAUUCAUAUUUUACUAGGUAUAGAACCAAUCUUUAUUCAUAUUGUUUACAAAGAAGCUGAAACAUGGUAAACUAAAGACUUUUUUUAUUAUUUUUUUAAAAAAUUAAAAAAACUUAUUAAAUUAAGAAAAAUUAGAUGUAUAUUUGCACCUCUAAACUUUAUUAAAAAAAUUAUAUCCACAAAAAUUAAAUUAUUUUCUUAAGUUAAACUACUUUCAUAUAUUUUAUUUAUAAUUUUGACUCCACUUAUUUACGAAAAAUAAUUACUAUUUGAAUAAUAUUAAAAAAUAUUUUUUAAUAAAAUAACUUAUUUUCUCUUAUUUAAUUUUAAUUUAAAAAUAAAAUUUAUAAACUAAUUUAUAUAGCAGUCUUAAUAAGAUACUCAAAAUGCAGACAAUGAUUUUUUUUUUUUAAUUUAUUUUUCUUAAAAUAACUUAAUUUUUAUUUUAAAUAAAAAAUAUUUUCUAUUAACUAAAUUUUAAGAGUGUUUUGAAUGUUGGAAAAUAUGGACAAUUAUUACAAGAAAAAUAUUCAUUAAUGAGAGAAAAAAUUAUCAUUAAAUAUUAAAAAUUAAUCAUUGAAAAAUUACAAAAUUAUUUUUAAUUUUGUGAAAACAAAAAAUAAAAAUCAUGAAGUGAUACUAAAUGCACUUUAAAUUAGUCGUUAUAUAUAUAUAUGAGUGCAAGUGUGUAGAAAGUGAAUUAAGAAAUUAAAAUAUAAAAGAGUAAAUUAUUGUUUGAUUUUUGUACUAUUUUAAUUUUUUUUUAUUUCUAUGUCAUUCUGUUAAAAUAAAUCAUUAUAUUAUUUAUUUUUUUAAUUAUAUAUAUAUAAUUUAUUUUUUCUAAUUAAAGCUAAAAAUAUAUUUAUUAAUAUUUUAUUCGAUAAAAAUAUCAAAGAAUUUGAUUUUAUAAAAUUGAAUGAUUUGAAAAUAAAAAUUGAAUAGUUAAUUUUAAUAAAAUACAACGAUCUAUUAACAAUUUAAUCUUAUAAAAAAGAAUUAUUCAAAACUCUCUAAAGUUUCAUCAAACAGUGAGAAUCCCCUUGCAAGUUUCAUCAAACUUAUCAGUAGUGCAAGUAAGUACAAUUGGCCCAUCAAUUCUGGAGUCGAGAUCACCAUUCUGAUAUUGUUUAAUCAAUUCUUGUAAUGCCAGAAACUUCAGAUUCUCUACUUGAACUUGAUAUCUCUUGCUCUCGUUACCCACGUAUAUGGCUACAUAGCCUUUUCGAAUUUGUGGAGUUUUGACUUUUUGAUCAGUGGAACUGGAGAGCAAUUUAUAAGAAAAAAAUGACUAGAUUGCAUAACGUUGAUCUAAAAUUUUGUAAAUAAAAUCCAUUUUCCUGCUAGAAGCUCUCGACGAUGACAUUAUUGAUGAAAUUUUUUUAAGUUAAAAAAACUAUUUGAGAGUUAAAGAAUCCGAAAGAAAAUUGUAUUACAAAGAAUAAUAGUUGGGAUUCAAUUUAUAUAUAGAAUGAAUGAGUUUUCCUGAUGAAAUUUGGAUUUCCAGCAGUAAGUAAAGUUUUUUAGCUGGAUUAGUUUAUUAAUUGGUUUAAAAAAGAUACAAAUUAAGGCAGUGAAAAAGAAUCUUUAUUAAUUAUAUAAUUAUUUACAUUUUGAUUUAUUAAUGGUAAUUGCUAAAUAUGGUAAUUAAGUGAUGCUUAAGUUUAUAAUUUUGAGAAUAAUAAGAUAUGACGAUAAUAUUUAUUCAGUUUUAUGGUUUUUAGUUUCUUAAAAUGGCAGAAUUAGUUUAUAGGUCAGUAGAUUUUUUGUUAGGAGUUUGAAAUGGGAGAGAUUAUCACAAAUUAUAUGCAAUAUUCACACUUAAUUAAUUCUCUAAAUUUUUCAUACAGAAUGUUGAAAUGGUUAUCUUUGAUUAAAAAAAAGAAAUGGUUAUAAUAAAAAAUUAAAUAUUUUAUUUUUUUAUAUCAACACCAAUUUUGUUAAAAAUAACAAAAUUAUUAAAAUUAUUGAAUAAAUUAACUAAAAUUAAUAAUGAGUGAAAAUAUUGAAUUAACAGAAAGAUUUUGAUUUUUUUCUUUUUGUUAUUUAAUUUUUUUAAAGAAAUGAAGAUAACUAUUUUUUAACAAAAAGUGGGGCCAUUGAAACUAGAAUUAGCUGCUUUGAUUCAAUUUUUCUUUUCUUUUUUUGUAAAUUUUAUGUUGAUUCCCUUCAAUUUUUUUUUCUUACUAGAAUUUAUUUUCUUUUUGUAGUUUAUUAACUAUCAUACAUUACAAAAUAAUAUUUAAUGGAAAAUUUUAAUUAUAGUUUUAUUAAUAAUGAUGUUUAUAUUAAUUUUAUAUUAUUUAAUUUUAUAUAAUAAGAUAAAUAAUAAAAAGUAAAAAUACCUUUUAUAUAUAUAUAUAUAUAAGAGUUUAAUUUAUGUAAGAGUUUUCUUUAUAAUAAAGUUAUAUAUUUAAUUUAAUUAANNNNNNNNNNNNNNNNNNNNNNNAUAUAUAUUUUGAGAGUUUAAUUUAGGUAAGAGUUUGUAAAAUUAUAAAUAACAAACAGAUUUAUAAAUCAUUUGCAAAUAAAAGUGUAAUCGUUUAUAAAAUUAAAAAGAUACAUAGAUACAUGUAUGAAUUUGUUCAUACAUACAAAUGUGUGAACCAUUUGUAAACUUAAAUGCUCAUAAACAAAUUCACAAAUGAAAAUUUGUUAUGGAGUUAUAAUCCAUUUUUAAAAUUAGAUGUACACAUAUGGAUUUGUAGGGGUGAGCAUUCGGUCGGUUCGGUUCAAAAUCGAAUCGAACUGAAAAAACCGAAAACCUAAAUUUUAGUAUUUAUGAAAAUCGAACCGAACCGAUUUUGGUCAGAAACCGAAUCGAACCGAACCGGUCUGAUUCGGUUCGAUUCGGUUCGUUUGAUCAGUUUCGAUUUUUAAUGAUUUUUUUUAUUUUUUACACUUUAUUUUUAAUAUUUUAAAAUUUAAUUAAAAUAUUUUAAUUUUAAUAUGAUUUAAUUUCUCUACAUUAUUGAAAAAACAUAUUAUUAUCACUAAUCGGUUCGGUUCGAUUUUUUCAGUUUUUUUCUGAUUAAAACCGAACCGAACCGAAAUAACUGAAAUUUUUGAAAUUAAAAACCGAACCGAACCGAAAUGUAUAAAAAAUCAACUAAAUUUUAAAUCGAUUCGGUUCGGUCGGUUUUUUUGAGUUUGAACCGAAUACUGCUCACCCCUACGGAUUUGUAAAUAGAAGUGUAACUAUUUGUAAAAUUAAAAAGACAAACGGAUUUACAAAUAAAUAUGCAAUUGAUUUGUAAAAUUAAGAAAAAUUAACUAUUUAAUCAUUAUGAUAUGAUAAAAUUUAUCCGUUGUUCCCUUUAUUUUAAAAAAUAUAUUAAAAUAUUUUUAAAAUUUUAAAAAAUUUACUAAUUAAUCACUCCGUUACUAUAGGGACUAAGUAGUAAUCUUUUCUAAAAUUAAAGGACUACAAACAUAUUUACAAAUAAAUAUGAAAAUAAAAAUUAAAUGGAUAUAGAAUAAUUUGUAAAUGGACUUAUAAUUAGCUUGUGAAAUUAAUACAAAUAAAUUUAUAAACGAAUAUAUAUAAGUCAUUUAUAAAUUUAAUUUGAUAUAAAUAAAUUUAUGAUAUAGAAUUAUAAAAAAGAAUAUUUAUAUUUUUGCUAUUUCCAUUUGUAAAGCUAUAACAUUCAUAAAUGAAUUUAUAUCGGUUUAUAAAUUCCAUUUAUAUUUUAAAAAAUUCUUAUAGUAAAGGAUGAAAGAGUGAACAAUCAUAAUAAAUAGAAAAUCUUUCCAAAACAAUUAAACAAACUAUAUCAGAAGAAUUGAAGAGUUGGUUAAGAUUAUGCAGUCUAUCAGUUGUUCUUAAUUUUUAUCUUUUUCAAAAAUAUAAAAAUAAGAGUUGAUCAAUAAAAUAUAACAUGUUUCGGUUUGGAGAGUUGAUUGAGACUAUUUAGUUGUAUUCAAUUUUUAUCUUUUUCAAAUAUAUAUAUAUAUAUAAAUUUCCGAAAAGCAAAGAAACCAAAAUCCAGAAGGUGUAAAUGGAAAAAGAAACAUUUAAGAAUCUAUUAAAUAUCAAGAAUUCAGUUGUUUUAAACAAGGAAAUGACAAAGUACGUAAUAUUGUUGCAUGGCAUUUUCACAAGGGCAAAUAAGAAUCUAUUAAAUUGAGCCUACAAGGCAAAGGAUGCAUAUGAGUUACUGUUAGUAGACAGACCUUGCUAAUUUAUAAACGCUCAAUCAUAGAAAGAAGAAAGGGAUGCAGGUUACCAAGAUCAAUCACAUUAGAGAUUUUGACAAGUAUAAUUUUGACAAUUCAAUUAUUUCCCAUUCCCAUUUGUUCUUCACCCAACAGCCCAUAUUUAACAUCAACACAAAUAGGUUAGCUGCUAAAUUUAAUAGUCUGCUAAAGGAGAAUUUGAGAGCAAUAUUACCAACCGAUCGUCUCUCAUUCCAAAAUUUCAUUUUCAUCUCAUUCCCCACAGCAAAUCUGAUAUGAAUUAAAGGAGAGAAGGAAGAGUUCAUCGAAAGUAGCAUAGCCUCGAAUGUCUUUCUGAAGGGAAGAAAUGCAAUUUCCUGGAGCAAGAGAGAUACCCUUCUCCAAAUUGAAAGAAUAUUUGGAUAGAAGUUGAACUCAGAGUGAAUCCCUAUGAUUUUCAAAUCUCCAAAGCCAUUUGAACAAAAGAGCUUGAAUUUGAAGAGAGAUCUCUUUCAUGCCUAAGCCUCCUUUCUUUUUAGGCAACAAAAGAGUAUUCCAUUUAAUCAGAUGAAGUUUCUUUGUACUGACAUUUUUCCUGCCACCUUUGAUUAUACCUGUGUUAUAUAUAGAGCUAACCUGCCUUUUAUGAACUUGUUCAUAAAUACAUUUGGACAAAAAGUCCUGUUAAAUAGCUGAAGCUAAACUAGCAUUCCAAUCGCUAGUAGGACCAAUUGCAGUUGCUUGUCUCAGUGGCUGCAUAUGUCUGAUUUUCAUCCUCUUCUUUUGCUUUUCCCUCAAUUCCCAUAACAUUUUCUGUUGUGUAUAAUUUUAGUGACAUUUCAUCCAACCAACAGCUGUAGAAGUCUGGUGAUUCUCUUACCUUGUAUUAUGGGACUGUAUAUCCUGCAACCUGCAUUUAUAGUGUAGUCUAAUUGUUAAAUCAAUUCUCAAUUAAAGCACACUGGUUUAUAAUCAUUAUUUUCAUUAUUAUUAAAAAUUAUAAUAAUUAAGCAAAAAAGAAUUGCUUAUACCUUUAUGGUUAGAAAGGAGAAGUUGUAGUCAUAUCCUUGCAAGUACCUACAAGAGAAAUGAUAGCAUUUUAAAAGGUCAUUGAGCACAAAAAUAAAAACAAAGAUUCUUAAUCAUUGUAGUACGGAACCAAUUAGUUUUAGUUCUCAACUCAAUUUUAGGACUGAGCUCUCGAGUUAAGGCUGUAGUAGCAGCCAAAAAAAAAAUUGUAAUGGAGAUGUUGGGUUUACCAGCAACUUGAUGUAGAAAUCCAUGACCUCCAUUCAUCAACAAUCUUAUAUCAAAGAGAUCUAGUCCAUGUUUGAAUUCAAGCGAAAGGCACACACAUAUCAUGAUUUCCACCAUAGGUAAUUUGCGGUUUUAAAAAUUUUUGUUUUGUGGAAGAGAAUCACAGCUGAUUGAAAUUAAAAAUGAUAUUUGAAGAAAUUAGUUAAAUUACAUAUCUAUUAUAUUUGAAAAAGGUAAUUACCAAGUUGCGCUCCAAGAUACACUUGAAUGGUCAAGAUAUAACAACUUUAGUUUGCUGAUCCCUCAUUGCGCACCUUUAAAAGCCUCAGAAUGAGAUCAUUAUUCCGCGAUAAAUGUACUACCAGUUCUGUGGUAGCAGCAUCAGCAGAGAACCCCUUAUCAACCAUUUCAUUGAUUAGUUCUGAUGCUUUUGGUAAAUCCCCAUGCUUGAGAAACCCUUGAAUGAUGAUGUUAUAACAAGAAUUAUUUGGUAAACAUCCUACCUUUUCCAUGUCUUUAAAUACGUUAUACGCUUCAUCCAUUAAUCCUUGUUGGCAGAGUCCCUUCAUUAUUGCAUUAUAUACAUAAACAUCAGGUUGUAAACCAAUUUCAAAAAGACUAGAAAAAAGUUCCUUGGCAUCAUUAAUCUUCCCAACUUUGCACAUACCAUUGAUCAGACUGCUAUAGAUCACAAAAUUAGGCUUCAACUGACUUUUCUCCAUUGCUUUCAAUAGGGUGAGUGCCUCAUCGAGAUUCCCCUGUCUACACAAGCCAUCAAUCAUAAUUGAGAAGGUUACUAUAUUUGGCUGUUGACCAUGAGAGCACAUAUCCUUAAAGAGCUCUUUUGCAGUUUGGGGCCUCCCUGCUUGAAACAUAGCCUUUAUAAGAGUAUGAUAAGUAAUAGCAUUAGGAACUAAACCUUUAUGAGACAUUUCAUCAAAAAUCUGCUUUGCAUCAUCUAUCAUUUUGCACUUACAAUAUCCAUUGAUCAAAAUGUUGUAGCUAAAAAUGUCAGCUAUUUCAUUGGUCACCAUCAGAUCAAAUACCUUUCUAGCCUUAUCAAUUUGCCUGCACAGACAAUAUCCAUCCAUCAAUGAAUUAUAAGUGACAACACUAGGUUCCACACCUCUUUGAAUCAUUAUUUUGAUUAUAUUCUGUGCAUUUGAAACCAGUCCUUUCUUACAAAGAGUGUCAAUCAAUAUACUGAAGGUAAAAACAUUAGGGGAUAUGUUCCUCCCCACCAUUUCUUUCAACAAGGCCAAAGCUUCCUUGAAUUGGUCUGAAAUGCAAAGACCAUCAAUUAAGGAAUUGUAGGUGACCACAUCAGGCUCUACACCUCUUUGAAUCAUUACAUUGAAUGUAUUUUGAGCCUCUGAAACCAUUCCAUCCUUACAAAGAGCAUCAAUCAAUACAUUGAAGGUAUAAACAUCUGGUAAUAUGUUCUGCUCCACCAUUUCAUUCAUCAAGGCCAAAGCUUGGUUCUUUUGGCCUAAUUUGCAAACACCAUGAAUUAAACUAGUGUAAGUGAUGACAUCAGGUGAAAUGCCCUUAUUACUCAUUUGAGAGAAGAGCUCUAAAGCCUCACCAACUAGCACAUCCUUGCAAAGUGCGUCAAUGAUAGAAUUGUAUGUCACAACAUUUGGCUCACAACCUCUAUCAGCCAUUCCCUUUAGUAGCCCAAUAGCCACGUUUGUUUUCCCAAAUUUACACAAUCCGUUUACUAUCACAUUGAAAGUACGAACAUUAGGUUGAUAACCACGUGCAACCAUAUCAUCGAAAAAUUCCACUGCUUUAUCGAUUUUACUCUCCAUACAAAGCCCAUUAAUUAAGGUAGUAAAUGUCACAGUGGUAGGCUCCAAUCCGAAUUUGAGCAUCUUACCAAAAACCGAGAAGCCAAAAUCCACGAGGUGCAAGUGGCAGAAGCAAUUAAUUAAGAUGCUAAGAGAAUAAACAUCGUGUGAGAUUCCUAGCAAUUCAAUUGUUUUGGACAUGGAAAAGACAGUGUUAUAUUGUUUCAUUUUCACAAGGGCAGAUAAGAAUCUACUAAAUUGAGCCCUAGAAGGAAGAGGAUGCUUAUGAAUUACAUGAUUGAAGGAAGCAAUGGCAUCAUCAAGGUGGGUAAAAGAAGCAGAUUUGAAGUUAUUUGUCAAGAAGCGUGCAUCUUCAAGUGUGGAAGUAGAAGAAUCGCAAUAAUUGGUAAAUAAGAAUAGGAAUGGAGAUUGAAUGGUACCAAUUGCCCCUUGUAGCUGAAGAUGGAAGCUCCUGCUCUGCCUCCUCCAAGGCAUCUUCAUCAUCAUCGAUCUCUCGUCAGUUGUUUUUAGGGAUGGAUCGGAGAUUGGGAAUGAGGAAAGGAAAUAGAGAAUCGGAAAAGGAAGGCUCUCUGCCUGCUGGUAAAGUGGUAAGGAUAACAUAAGGAAAUUGGUAAGGGAUAAGGAUAAGGAUAACAUAAGGGAAAUUGGUAAGGGAAAUUGGUAAAGUGGUAAGGAUAACAUAAGCCAAAAUCCACAUUUUGUAAUUUUUUUUUAUUAAUUUUUCAUAUAAAAAUAUUAUUUAAUAACAAAUUAAGUUUAUCAUUUUAUAAUAAUAAUUUUUAAAUAUAAAUCCAAUUAAGUCUCUACUUUUGUUUAAGAGUCAAAAAAUUUUAAUUCAAAAUUUUAGAUUAAUUAAAUCUAUAUACUAUUAUUUAAGAGUCAAAUAAAUCAUAAUUUAAUGUAAUAUUAUUUUUUUAAUAAUAAAAAUAUUUUUUUAAAUAAAAUAUUAUAAAUAUAAUUGUAGAACAUUGAUUUUUUAUUUUAUUAAAUAAGUAUUAAAAAAUAUUUUUUAAAUAAAAUAUUAUAAAUUUAAUUGUAGAAUAUUGAUUUUUUAUUUUAUUAAAUACUAUUUUUUACUCUAAUAUAAUUAGAAAUUUAAGUGAGUUCCCCUGGUGGUCCGACGCGUUGCAAGAGGCGGAGAGGAGGUUCUGCGGCAUAAUUCAGGUGAGCCAGGUCCGAUUGGGAAAGAUAUGGCUAGUGGCGUGACAGGCACCUUGCUGACAUGGUUGCUGAAUGAGAAAGUUUCCAAGAGGAGAGAAAGCUUCGGUGGUGUAACUAAAGGAGAAUGCUUCGAUGGACGUGGGAGGCUUAUAUUUCCUUUUUUUCAAAAUUUAUUUUUUAAUAAAAUUUAUAUUUAAAAAUAAGUUUAAUUUCUUAAAAAAUAAGCUUAAUUAAAAUUAAAAUAAAUUUUUAAUAAUAAUAUAAAAGGUUAAAUUAAAGCAUGUUGAAUUUAUAAAAUUAGAAUGAAAUUAAAAUUUUAGAAAUAAAAUGGGAGUGAAAUAAUGAGACUAAAAUUGAAAUUAAAAAUCAAUAUUUAGUAUUGCACUAAAAUUCUCAAAAUAAAUUUGAUUAGAAUGUAUAUUAAAAUAAUGAUCAUAUAUAUAUAUAUUUAAUUUUUUGAUAUAUUAUGAUAAAAUAUAUUAUCUAUACUUUUUAGCGAAUAAAUUAAAAAAAAUAUUAGCUAGUUCAUUAAUAUGGAUAAUAUUAUACUCGUAAAAAAUUUAAUUUUUCAUUUAUUCAACUAAAAGUUAUUAAAAAAUUUAAAUUUAAAAAUAGUAAUUUUAUUUUUUAUUUUUUAAAAACACUACAAAUAAUUUCUAAAUUAUUAAUGAAUUUUUCAGUUGGUAAUCAAUAAAAAAUUCACUUAUCUAUAAAUUACUAAUGGAUUACAAUUUAUAAUUAAAAAGUUUAAUAGUACAUUUUUAUUAAUAGUUUUUAAGUCUAUUAAUAAUAUUAAUAGAUUUACUAAUUAAAUUUUCAUUAUUAUUACUAACAGAUUUUAAAUGUGUCAAUAUUGAGAGAAAAAUAAUUUAUUAAUAAAUGUAAAAUUCGUUAAUAAAUUAUCAAUGCAUUACAAUCCGUUAAUAAAUUUAUUAAGAGUUUAAAUAAUUUUUUAUUAAUUUAAUAAGACUGAAAAUUAUAUUAUUAUUAUUAAGUUUUAAAUUUGUAUUUAAUAUAUAGAAAGUGAAAAUAAGAAAAAAAUAAAUGGUAUAUAAUGAUAGAAAAUAAUAAAAAAAAGAGAAAAUGAAAGGAAAUUAUGAAGAAUAAAGAAUGAAUAAAAUAAUAUAGGAGGAGAGAAAAUAGAAUAAGAGAUGAAAGAAAAAUAAAAAAAUUUCAAUAAAAAAGUGAAAUAUAGAAGAAAGUAAUAAAAAAAGAGAAAGGAAGGAAAAUGAUAAGAUGAAUGAAUUAUAAAAGUAGAAGUCUCGGUUUAAUAUUUAUAAACAUAAAUUAUUAAUAAAUUUAUAAUUUGUUAUUAAAUUUAGGAAAAAAGCAGUUUUUAUCUGUUUAAAAAAUUAUUAAUGGAUUUAAAAUAUGUUAUUAAAUUCAUUAAUAAUAAAAAAUGUGAAUUGCAAAAUCAAAGGCGACAUUUUAUGUAAAAUUUUAUUUUAAAUUUAUCAAUAAAUUUUUUAGUAAAUAGUUUUCAUUGAUAAAUUUAAUGUUUUUUUUACUUAUUAAUUUAAAAAUAAAGUUUAAUAAUGAAUUUUUAAAUUCAUUAAUAAUUUUUUGUGCCAAUUACCAACGGAUUGAAAGGAAGGAUUAUGAGAUUCGAGAGAUGAAAUGGAAAAGAAAAUGAGAGUUUAAAGAAGGAUAUUUAUGAAAUUUAAAAUAUUUUUCUUUUCUGUUUUUACAGAUUUUAGUGCAGAAUAAAAUUAUAAUAAUUAAAGUGUUUGAUUCUAAAAAUAGAAAAAUUGAUCCGUUAAUUAUACUAAAAUUUAAAAAUUAAAAUAUAAUAUAUAAUUUAAAAAAUUAUAGAUUUGGAUCACAUUAUAUUCAAGAUCAUUAUAAAUAGCCGCCGCUCUUUGUUGAGUCGGCAAAGGGUUUGAUUUCCACUAAAAUCUCCCUUCCCAAUUUAUAGAUAAAAAAAAAAUCAUUAUAAAUAAAAUAAUAAAAAUUUGUUAAAUUUGUUAUUUUUUAUAAGAUUAUGCAAUAUUUUAUUUUUUUAAAAAAUGAAAAUUUGUUAAAUUUGAAAUAAUUUAAUUCUUUUAUUUCAAAAAAAAAAUAUUUAACUUAAUUUUUUGUGAAAUUUUUAAUACAAAAUAGAGAAAAACUGAAAUCAGCUAGAAGGAAUUUCAAAAAAUUAAUUUAUUAAUUAAGGAAGGAAAAUUCAUAAAAAAUUAGUUAUUUAACCGAAAUUUUUUUUCAGAGUUAUUUAAGGGAAAUAUCAGGAGGCAACUCCAAGAAAAAUCUUAACUACUUUAUAAACAUAUAAAUACAUAAAUAAAUACUUGUGCAAAAAAUAGUUAAAUAAAAUAUUUUUUUGUUAAUUAACCCUUAAAUUAAUUCUGUUCUAUUAUAAAAUUAUGUGUAAUUUUUUAUUAAUAUUAAAUUUUUUUAUUGAAAAAUAAAAUUUAUAUACACAAAUCGUAAUCACUGAAUCAAAAUUAAAAUUAUGAUAAUUUUAAUAAAAUUUUAUUGAUACUGUAUAUACAUCAACAAUUAAAUAAGCUAAGAAUUAUUGAGGAAAUUCCUACGGGACGAAAUCGUUUAUUAAUUAAGAAAGUGAAGAUUUUCAUUAAUUGUUGCGUAGAAAGCAAUAACUACAAAAUCUUUUUCAUGAAAGACUUAUGAAUUUAUUUAUUUUACAUUUAUUUUAAUUUUAACUACUAAUUUUAAUUAAUUUUGAUAAAAAAAUUUUAAUAUAUAAGUAUAAGAUUAUUAAUUUAAAAAUUUAUUGAAUAAAAAAAUUAAAAAUAUUUAUUAUUUAGUUUCUAAAUAUUAUUAUUAUUAUUAAUAAAUCAGUAUUUAUAAUUUUUAAAAAUUUAUUAAAAUUAUCUUAUUUAUUUUAUUAAUAAAAUAAUUAUUUCAUUUUUUUAUUAAAAAUAGAUGAAAAUUGUGAGAAAAAAUUUUAAAAACUUAAAUUGAAUCUUUUAGUAUAUUUUUAACAGCAGAAAUAGACAAAAUUGAAUAGAAUUAUUUUAGUGAUGGAGAAAAAAAAAACAUUUUAAUAAAUUUUUGAAAAUAUAAGGAUUAAUUUAUUAAUAAUAGUAAUAUUUAGAAAUUAAAUAAUAAAUCUCACAAAAUAUAUAUAUUUAAAUUAAUUCAUAUUUAUAUUCAAAAUUUUAAAUUUUAAAUAAUAAAUCAAAUACUUUUUUAAUUUUUCACAUUUAACUAAAAGAUUAUAUUGAAUUUAGAAAGAUUAAUGAUAAAUUAUAAUAUAAUUUUUAAAAUUUUAUAUUAUUAAUAUAUAAUUUUUUAAUUUAAAUUUUAUAUUAAAAUAAAUUAAUAUUAAAUAUAUUGUAUUAAAUAAAUAUUUAUUAUAAAUAAAUUCUCAUAUUAUAAAAUAUUAUAUAUAAAUUUUAUGUUAAAAGUAUUUUGUUGAAGGUUCGUACUCAACAUUUAAAUUAUAUGUCUUUUUAAUAUAUAAAAAAUUAUAUUUUAUAUUAAUUAAUAUUAAAUAAAAUAAAAUAUUAUGUAUAUUACUUUGUAAAAUCAUUUUUUUUAUAAUUUUUAUAAAAAUCUUUAUUUCUUAAUUAGAUUUCUUGUACUUUAUUUAAGUUAUUUUAUUCACUUAUAUAACAAGAAAUUUUUUUAUAUAUAUUAAUUUAUUAGCUUAUCGAAUAAAAAAUGUAUUUUAUAUCAAUAUCAUAAUAUAAAAUAAAAUAUUAUAUAUUUUAAUUUAUAAUUUUUUAAAUUUUAAAUUUUUAUUAAUUUAUAAUGUAUUAAUAAAAAAAACGUUUUGAUAAAAAAAGACAAUAGUAUUUUUAAAAUUAUUAUGUGGGUCAAGCAAAAUUUUAAGAAUUAUAUUAUAAUUUAUCAUUAAAUUUUUUAGAUUUUAUUUAAUUAUAAUUAUUAUAAAUAGACUUUUAUUAUUCAACUUUUAGAAUUUUAAAUAUAAAUAUGAAUUAAUAUAAAUAUUUUAAAAAAUUUUAUCCAAUAGGCCGAGAGAUAGUAAAUAAAUUAACGAGCUAAAGGGUUUAGUAAUAACGGAAGACAUGGAAGAUAUUUAUUAAUUCUAUUUAUAGUUGAAUACCUUCUCUAAAAUAGAACAAUGGUAAAAUCCUAAAUGAAACGAUAAUUUAUUAAAAUUUAAAUAUAUAAAUAAAAUAUAAAAAAAAUUAAUUUUUAAAAAAAUUCACUGAUUAAUUUUUCAAUUUUAAAAAAAUAUAUUAAUAUAUUUUUCAUAUUAAUCAGUCACUUUUAUCAGUUUUAGCUAUUAAAUAUUAUAAAAAAAUAUAAUAUAUUUAAAAUAUAAAAAACUAAUUAAUAAAUUUUUUUAAAAAUUUAAAAAAUUAAUUAAUAAGUUUUUUGAAAUUAUAAGAACUAAUUAGUCUCUCUAUUUACUAAAUUUUUUAAAAUGUUUAAAAUAUUUUAAUGUAUUUUUUAAAAUUAAAAUUAAAAUAUUUUUUAAAAUGUCUAGAACUUUAUUUAAUUUUAUUUUAUUUUUAAUAAAUCUCUCUAAAUAUCUUUUAAUAUUUAAAAAAUUUUAUUGUAUUUAAAAAGAUAUAAUUAAAAAAUUAAUAAAAAAUUAUAUUUUUUAAUAUUUAUAAAAAAUUAAAAUGAAAAAAUUAUAAGAAAUUAUUUUAACAUGAAAUACAACUUAUUUUGAUAUUUAAAAAAUUAGUAUCUUCAAUGGACUCAAAAUCCAAGAACUUGCAACAAAUUUUGAACGGCCAAAUGAAAAAACUUUUCAAGUUUUGCCUAGACAAAGUGAAGUGGGGACAACAGCAAUCUUCAAGACAUUUCCUAUGAUUUUUAGGUAGUAUCGCAAAAAUUCCUGGCCAGGUUGUCACAAAGCACCAGCCUCCGCUUUGUGAUUUAGUAUAUAUAUAUCAUUUUGAACACAUUCGACACUAUUUUAAUAAAGAUUUUACUGUAUUUUCAUCAUAAGAUUUCACAAAUAGAAGAAAGUAAUCCGAUGAAUCUCUGUCAAGGAAUUUCUCUGACCAGGAUUAUCUAGCGCUCAAACUAGAUAUGGAAUGCAUUAAUCAUGUUUUGGAUAUUUUUUGAUUUAUUUUAUUGUGAUUUAUUCUUUAACUUAAAUAAUUUUAUAUUUUUAAUUUCUAUAUCAUAUCAUGAUACGGUAUUAAAUAUGCUUCAUUUUAUGAUUUCUCUGAUUUUCAGGCUAUAAAAACAGAGUAACCAUUCAUGUUCAAUAACUUAAUUACCAGAUCUCCAAAGAAAGAACAAAAUGAAAAACACAGACGCAAUCCUUGUGUUCCUAGCUUCUCUUGUUUUCUUGCUUCACUCUUCUUUUCCUCUUCACUUUGCUGAAGCUCAAGGUAUGUUUAUAUAUUUUUUUUCCACUAAUAUUUUUAUUAAGUAAUUUUGAUCAUGUAUGGGUGGUUUUAGGUAAUGAAACUCCAUACACUUACAUAGAAGCAACAGGUAGAGGACCAUCAAGACGGGGCCAGCUUAACCCAGAGUUGCAAGCUUGUGGAAAUGGAAGAAUGCAGUCUCCUAUAGAUAUUCGUCUCCAAGAUGUAAAACUUGCACCUGCGCUAGGAGAUCUGCCAUUACAAUAUCAACCAGCUGCUGCCUCUAUCAAGAGCCUUGGACGUGUUAUUCAGGUCAUUAAAAGCAUUAGUAAUGGAUUUUUUAUGGAUCAUAACAGAAAAAUCUUAUACUGAUUCUUGCAUAUUAAUUAAUUAAUAGAAAAAUUAUUAUUUAGGUCAGUCUCUCAAUUUUAAAAAUUUCAAAAAUAUUUAAUAAUUAAAAUUAACAUAUAGAUUAAAAAUAAUGAACAAAUUAAUGAAUUUUUUAAUAAUGUAAGGAUUAAAUAGUAAAUUUUUUAAUUAAUUAAUUAUAUUAAUCUCAGUAAUUAAGUGUUAGAGGUUUAACUUUAAUUACUGGUUAAUCAGGUUUCUUGGAAAGGGAAUGCUGGGAAUAUCAUUGUUAAUGGAGAUCGUUACGAUCUGAAACAAUGCCAUUGGCAUAUACCUACGGAGCAUGCAAUUGAAGGUAUAAGGUGAGCCAAUCAAUGCUGUGGUGUACAAAAAAAUUUUCUUGAUUUUCUUGAUCAUGUGUUAAUCAAUUUCCUUUGUUUAAAAGGUACGAUUUGGAGCUUCAUAUAGUCCAUCAAAACUCAGAUGGAGCAUUUGCUGUUGUUGCAAUUCUUUUCAAAUUAGGGCGACCUGAUCAAUUCCUUUCAAGGGUAUUUAUAUAACUCUUUAUGCAUUCAUGCAUUUGUUUUUCUUUUCUUUUCUUUUCUUUUCUUUUCUCAUUCCUUCUAUGGCAGCUCUUGCCCUUCAUAAAAUCAGUUACAAAAGAAGAGAAGGAUUUGGGGAUUAUUAACCCAAGAGACAUUGGAUUUUGGAGCAGAAACUAUUUCAGAUACAAUGGCUCUCUAACCGCUCCUCCCUGCUCCGAAGGAGUUGUUUGGACAAUUUUUCAGGAGGUAUUGAUUUUUCAUUUAAUUAAAAAAAUAAUUUUUAUUUAUUAAUUUUUUUGAAGGGUUUCAAAUAUUAAAAAAUAUAAAACUUAUUAUUUUAUACUUAAUAACGAUUAUAUAUGUGCAUCCGUUUAAUAAAUUAAUUACCAUUUUUAUUUUACACAGGUGAUUAUGGUUUCAGAGGAGCAAGUGAAUGCAUUGAGGGAUGCUGUUGAUAAUGUAAGUAUAUUAUUAUUAUUGAAAAAUUUUUAUUAUACAUUUAUUCAAUUUAAAAUUAUUAAUAUAUUAUUAAAAUCAUAAUAUAUCUUAUUUUGAAAAGUAAAAUUUAAUUAUAAAUAUGGCAUUUUAAUUUUCAAAUGAUUAUUAAGCAUUUCAAAAUUUGAUCAGAAGUUAAAAAAUGUAAAUUUAAUAUGCAUUAAUUUUAUUUAUUUAUUUUUGUAUAAAUUAAGGUUUUCAGUAAAGUCAGAAAUCUUAUGAUCUAAAAUAAUUUUAAUAUCAAGUUCACAAUAAUUUUAUUACUUACACUUUAAUGCAAUAUCUCCUUACUUAACAGUAAAAUUUUUAUUACUAAAAAUAUAACAUUUAUUACUAUAAAUUUAUAUUAGUAAUAUAUAAUUAUCGCAUAUUACUGCUAUAAAAUUAUAAUCAUGUAUAAAUAUUUUAUAAUGAAAUUAUAGUUGCAGUUAAAAAUUUAAUUAUUAUUAUUAAUAAUAAAUAUUUUAUAAAAAUUAUUUUAUUAAUAUCCAUAAUUUUUAUUUUUAUUAUUUAUAUUAUUAUUAAUUUUUAUAGCAGUAAUGGUAAUAUUUAUUAUAAUAGCAUAUGUUUUACCUAUUUUCUAGUUAAUUAAUGGGUUGGAUUUUGUUCAUUUUCAGGAAUUUAAGAUGAAUGCAAGGCCUAUCCAAGCAUUGAAUGGAAGAUCAGUCUUUUUGUAUCAAGCUAUAUAGAUCGCUAUUCAUUUAUUAAGGAAAAUUUUUAUACAGAUUCUGACAUUCGAUUAAUAAAAAUUAAUUUUUUUAUUAAUAUAUAAUCUUAUCCUAUUUUAAAUAAUAUUUUUUUAAUUUUAAAUUACUUAUAGAAUUAUAUUAAACGGUUGAACAUAGCCGUAUGCUCGGUAAUUUCCUCGUUAAUUAGCCAUGCACCGAUGAACAGUAUUCAGUUCAAAUUGAAAAAAUUGAUCAAACCGAAUUGAUUUAAAAAUUUAGUUCGAUUUUUUAUAUAUUUCGAUUUAGUUCGAUUUUUAAUUUUAAAAAUUUCAGUUAUUUCGAUUCGGUUCGGUUUUGAUAAAAAAAAAAUCGAACUGAACCCAUUAAUAAUAAUAAUAUAUUUUUUCAAUAAUAUAGAGAAAUUAAAUCAGAUUAAAAUUUUUUAAUUAAAUUUUAAAAUAUUAAAAAUAAAGUGUAAAAAAUAAAAAAAUUAAUAAAAAUUAAAACCGAUCAAACCGAACCGAAUCAAACCGAAUCAGACCGGUUCGGUUCGAUUCAAUUUUUAACUAAAAUUAGUUCGGUUUGAUUUUUAUAAACACUAAAAUUUCGGCUCUCAAUUUAUUCGGUUCGGUUCGAUUUUAAACUGAAUCAACUGAAUGCUCACUCGUACAUGCAGCAAUGGUUGGAGUUGUAUUUUUAAUUUUUAUAAAUUAAUAAAAUUAAAUAAAAAUAAUUUUAUUAUUUUACAAAAAUCAAAACAGAUAAACAUUCAAUCAGUUAAAAUUUCAGUAUUUACACUUGAAUAUGAAAUUUUUACGUUUACUAAGUUAUGAACUCAUUAUAAAAUUUUAUAUUUUAAAUUUAAUUAUAAUAUAUAUUAUAAUUUUAAUUCAAUAUAUUUUUAUAUAAAAAUUAUUUUUGAAAUAUUAAUUUGGAUGGUCAACCGUUGCUUCAUACUCAUCCGUUUCUGGCUUUCCGAUAUCCCCUCCAUUUGGAGCCGAAGAAUUUGCUCUUGUACUUUAAUUGUUAGAAAAUUUGAUUAUUUAUAAAUUUUAAAUUUAAUUAAAUUCUUUUACAAUUCAUUCUAAAUUCAAGAGAUUACCCAUUUUAGCUUUUUUUUUUUUAAAUUAAUAUCCAAUAAUUAAUGAAUUCCUUAAAAAAAUUCAGUCAAUCAGAAUUUCACGUUUCAAUUUUAGCCAAAUCAAACCCUAUAAAAACACUAAAGUUGUUGAUAUUCAAUUCCAUCACUAUCACUUUUCAUUUUGUUUUCUCUCCCUCUUUUUUCUCGUCAAAAAAACAACAGAAAAAACAAAAUUUCAUUUCUGUUUUUUCUCUCUUUUUUUUUCCGUCAAAAAAACAAGAGAGAAAACAAAAUGAAAAACACAAAAAUAACUUUCUUAUUCUUAGCUUCUUUUAUUUUUUUUCUUCUUUCUUCUGAAACGCAAAGUACGUAGAAUGUGUUUAUAUAUAUAAAAAUAUAAUUUAAUUAGAAUAAAAAAAAGUAUAUUAAAGCGAUUAAACAAUUUAAUUUUUUUAAUUAAAUAAUUUUAAAAUAAUGAUAGAUUUAUUUUUUCACUAAUAUUAUUAUUAUUAAAAAAUACUUAUUUAAAUCAAAUUCAUGCGAAUGCUACAGCUACUGGCAAUACGACGCUGUUUACUUAUACAGAAGGUGAGAGAGGACCAUCAAAGUGGGGACAGCUGAGCCCUAGUUGGACAGCUUGUAGAACUGCAGCAAAGGCUCAGUCUCCUGUUGAUCUUGUUCAUAAAGCUGCAACUUUACAACCUGCCCUUGGAGAUCUCAAAUUACAGUAUCGACCAGCUGCUGCCUCUAUCAAGAGCAGCGGAAAUUUUAUCGAGGUCUUUUUUUCUUAUUAAUUAAUUAUAAUUCUUAAAUAAAUUAUUAUUUUUUUUUAAAUUUAAAAAAUUUAACUUAAAAAAGGUUGAUUAGGUGAUAUGGAAAGGGAACGCUGGGAAAAUUGUUGUUGAUGGAAAUCAAUACAAGCUGAAAAAAAUCCAUUGGCAUACACCAGCGGAGCAUGCAAUCGAUGGAAAAAGGUGAGCCCAAUUGUCUGUUUUUGGUUUAAUAUUUGGGUUAAUGCAUAAUUAUGGUCUGAUUAUUUUCUUAAUUUAUUUAAUAGGGUCGAUUUGGAGCUUCAUUUAGUCCAUCAAAACUCUGCUGGAGGAAUGGCUGUUAUCGGAAUUCUUUUCAAAUUAGGGGAUGCUGACCCAUUCCUCACACAGGUAUUUAACUGUUUAUAUAAUAAUAGUAUUUUUCUUAUACUUCGUUUUUUUUAUUUAAAUUCUCAAACUUUUUAAUAUUUAGUACACUCUAAAAAAUCAUUCAAUAUAGAAUAUUUAUUCAGUAAUAAAAUAAAUAAUUUUUUAAAGAAAAUUACUCUAUUUUUUCAAAAUAAAAAAAUUGCAUUUUGAGAAUUUUAUUAAUAUUCCUAUAUAUAAAUUUAUUCAUAUUUGAUGAGUGAGAUUCGGCGGGGUGUCUAGAUGCGGACACCAUCAUUAAUCUGUAAUUAGUUUCAUAAGGUCCAUGCAUACUUGAGCUUGAGGAAGGAGACCUGCAAAAUAUGAGAAGAUGGUCAGAGGUCCGCCAGGUGCUUGGUAAAGAUCCUCCGUUGCUCAAGUCAGAUUUGUGCUCUUUUAAUUGUGUUUGAGAGAAAUAAAACAGAGAGGGAAGAGAAGAAGAGAAGAGAAAGCUCCCGAGAGAGAGCGAUGAUGGAUUUUUGGGUUUCUCUCCGACACAGAGAAGGCUUUUCCUUUCGAGAAGAUGAUAUCCCUUUUUUAGGAUUAGUUCAGUGGUACAUAUACCUCCGAUCGGUCUGACGCCCCUGGUGACGUGUUCCCAUCAUGUUGGACAUGGAUGCUUUUUGACAGGCAUGUUAGGCAGCAUAUUAAUGAUGGGCGAUAGGACAAUAAAUACAAAGCUGACUAGUUCGUAUCUUUUAUAUGCACAUUUAUGAUCCCGGUGCCAUACGAAGGAGACGAACAACACGUAUGAGGUCAGCAUCCUUAUCCUGCCUUCAUCGCAUCGUGCCUGGUUCAUUUGACCUAUAUAGAGGCGAAUUCCUUCUGGUUACUGAGGUUCGCCACAUCUGCAUUCAAAGCUUUGUUGUAGUGAGCUUUGAAGAGGUCUACUUGUCUUCUUCAGAUUUUGAAGAGGUCGGUCUGUCUGUCUGUUCCGAGUUUUAGUAAACUCAGGGGUGUAAGAGAUCUGAUUCUUUGUGCUUAAUAGAUCGGGGCUUCCUAUUGCCCAAUUCAACUAGAAAGAAAGGUUUGCAUGCCCCUUCUGAAUCACAUGUACACGUGUCAUGAACUUAUGGAUCCUAUUUUUUAUAUGUUAUCAAUUGCCCUUUUGUUUCUCUAAUGGUUAUUUAUGACCGCUGGAGAAGGAAACCCGACCUGCUAAUUCGGCGUCGCCUAUUCAUUUAGUAAAUGCUUAUAAAUUUCAAAAGGAAUUGAAUUGGUCGACUUUAGCAUAGAUCGAACUAAGCAAGCGAAUUUUAUAUCUUGAUAAUCUUCCUUUUGGGAGAUCUGAUCUUGGUGGUCUUCUUUAUGGAAAGUAUGACCGUGGUAGUUUUCCUUUUGGAAAGUUUGACUUGGAUGCUCUGCGCUUCUACCUUGCCUUUCCAACUUGGAAAGUCUGCCCUUUCAGGUCUUCUUUAUAGGAGGUUUGACCUUGACGGUUGUCCUUUUCGACCUUAUCCUUUUGACUUGACCUUAUUGAUAUGUCCUUUUAAGUCUUCUUCCGAGCGUUUUUCUUUGAGGUAUCUUUCAGGCUGUAAGCCCUAGGUCUUUUAAUACGCGCUUCAGCUGAUUGGUUUUAUGAGCAAUUUAGCUCUUUACGGGGCUUUAUAGCCCUGACUAUUUUUAUGAGCAUUUUAGCUCCUUACCAGACUCUUUAGCCCUGAAUGUUCAUCUGAACUCUUUGGUUUUCUAUACCAUUUCAGACUCUUUAGCCCUGAAUAUUUUUGCGAGCGUUUUAGCUCUUUUCCGGACUCUAUAGCCUUGGUUCUUUGUCCGAGCUCUUAGGCUCCUUGUGAUCUUCCUCUAGCUCUUAGUCUUGAUUUUUGGUCUGAGCACUUUUGCUCUUUGUUUUCUUUGGGCUCUUUUAGCCCUGGACCUUAGUUCUAGCAUUUUUUCUUUUGAACGUCUUCCGGAAUUUUUGCCCUUCAGCAUCUUUUGGGCUUUAGCCUUGAAUAUUUUUGUUAGCGUUUUAGCUCUUUUCCGAACUCUUUAGCCCUGAUUCUUUGUCUGAACUCUUAGGCUCCUUGUGAUCUUCCUCUGGGAUCUUAGCCCUGAUUUUUUGUCUGAGCACUUUUGCUCUUUGUUUUCUUCCGGGCUCUUUUAGCCCUGGACCUUAGUUCGAGCAUUUUUUCUCUUGAACGUCUUCCAGGUUUUUUUCCCUUCAGCAUCUUAUGGGCCUUUAGCCUUGAUUUUUCUUCCAUGCCCUUACCCUUCUCUGAGGGUUAUUUAUGAGCCGUUGGAGAAGGAAAUCCACUUCCAAGCGUUUUCGCUCUCCCGCGCUAUUUUUGCCUUUACUUCCGGACAUUUCGCUCUUGUGUUUCUUUUGAGCACCUAGCCUUGGAUCCGCUGCGCACUUUUGCCCUUUGUCGUUUUUUGGACUCUUAAUCCUGAGACUUAGUCCGAGCAUUUUGCUCUUUAAAUCUCUUUUGGGCACUUACCCCUAAUUCUUUAUCCAAGCACUUUGGCUCUCUGCUAUCUUUUUAACUUUUGCCCUGAACCUUUGUCCGAUCUUGUUUCUUUCUGGUAAGCUUUAGGGCUCUUUAACUCUGACUCUACUUUUGAGCAUUUUUGCUCUUUAUACCUCUCAGGUUAUCUGCCCUUAAAUACUUUCCGGGCUAUCUGCCUUCAAACACUUUCCAGGCUAUCUGCCCUUAAACACUUUCUGGGCUAUCUGCCCUUAAGCCUUAUUCUAGGUUCUGCCCUGGUUAUUGUUCUGAGCAAUUUUGCUCUUGGGCGCUUUCCAGGCUUUUUGCCCUUAAACGUUAUUCGGGUUAUUUGCCCUUAUUCUGCUUUCGAGCAUUUUUGCUCUUACUAUCUUCUAGGCAUUUUUUCCCUUAAGCGCUCUCUGAACUAUUUGCUCUUAAGCAUCUUCAGGGCAUUUUUGCUCUUCCAAGUUGUUUUUCCCCUUAUUCUACUUCCGAGCUCUAUGGCUCUUUGUAUCUUCCGAGCAUUUUUACCCUCAUGCAUUUUGUGGGAUAUUUUCCCUUAAGCGUCUUCCUAACAUUUUUGCUCUUCUGGGCUAUUUUUGCCUUAAGCGCUUUCUGGGCUAUUUACCCUUAAGUCUUAUUCUAUAAUGGUCAGAUUUUUCAUUCAUUUUGUACCUCAACUUGGCUUACCUGGUACUAGGGGUCAAUUUUCAAAGGUUGGGACCUGCCGUGGUUGGAUCUUCUUUAUUUGAUUCCUUAACUUGGUUUUUUGGUAUCGGGUCUAUUUUCAAGGCCAGCACCUGCCUCAUUAGACUUCUUUGUUUCCUCAAAUCGGUUUUUUGGUACCGGAAGUCUAUUUCUGAGGCCAAUACAUGUUUCAUUGGGCUUCUUUAUUUUCUCAACUCGGCUUUUUGAUGCCGGAAGUCUAUUUUCGAGACUGACACCUGCCUCAUUAGGCUUCGUUAUUUCCUCAACUUGGUUUUUUGGUGCUAAAGGUUUAUUUCCGAGGCCGACAUGUGCCUCACUAGACUUUUUUAUUUCCUCAGCUCAGCUUUUUGGUGCCAGAAGUCUAUUUUCGAGGUCGACACCUGUCUCAUUGGGCUUCUUCUUCAUUUUGUGGCCAUAGCUCCCAAGCUUAUUAGCUUUGCUCUUACUUUUAUAAUUUGCCUACAAAAUUAAAGAUUGCAUAGAGUACAUGUAACAAGAAUGCUUGUUGUUAAUUUGAAAUAGCAAGAUAUUUAACUUUAUAUUUCAACUGAAUGAAAAAUAUUAAUUUUGUCUAACUAUAUCAUCUCAUAUAAUUCUAAAAAAUAUAAUAAAUAAUGUUUUUCGUGCAUAAAUCUCUUCACAGUUUUUAAAUCAUAAAGCAGUAUGCUUUGAACAGGUAAUAAUUUUUUCAAUAGAUUCAUACUAAUAUUAAUCACUGAUGAGGGCUUUUUUUAAGCUAUUUUAGUGUACUAUCAUAUUUCAAGUUCAUAUACACAAGGCCUUCGUCUUAGGCAUUAAAUUUUUUUACUAGUUCAUAAUAGCAAAAAUACUUUGAGAUAAAGAAAGUAACUAUACAACUUGGGUAACUCGUGCACGUCAUUUCUCUUCCAUGGUUGAUGGAUCACCCGUGUGUUGUUUUUUCUUCAUUUUUCACUGUCUAAUUUUCAUCGUGUGACUUUUAGAUGCAGUUGGGGAUUCUCGGAUCUUUCACCAUAUCUCUUUAUUUCGGUCUUUCAUAUUGUUUAGCUAUUAGCUUUUCUUAAUUUGCCAUGUGGAUCUCAAUAGGUUUUAUUCAGAAACUUCGGCAUAUAGUCUUCUUGGUUCCCAUAAGCAGUGCCACUUGAUAAAGUGAGAUCCAAUGAGGUGUCUAGAUGCGGACACCUAGCAGAGGCUUAAUUCCAUGGGUUGAUCAUCAAUCUGUAAUUGAUUUCAUAAGGUCUAUCCAUACUUAUCUUGAAGAAGGGGACCUGCAGAGUAUGAGAAGAUGAUCAGAGGUCCGCCGAGGGUGUUCGGUGAAGACCCUCCUACGGUCAAGUCAUAUUUAGGCUCUUUUAAUGAUGUUUGAGAGAAAUAAAAUAGAGAGGGAAAGAGGAGAAGAUAAGAGAAAGCUCCCGAGAGAAUAAGGAUGGAUUUUUGGGUUUCUCUUUAUGUGUGAGAGAGAGAGAGAGGGUUUUCCCCUUCGAGAAGAUGAUGUCCCCUUUUUAGGAUUAGUUGAGUGGUAUAUAUACCUCCAAUCGCUUUGACGCUCCUGGUGCCAUGUCCCCAUUAGGUUGGGCAGGGAUGCUUUUUGGCAGGUGUGUCAGGCGAUACAUUAAUGAUGGGCGACAGAAUAAUAAAUGCAGAGUUAGCUAGUUCAUACCUUUUGCACGUGUAUUUAUGAUCCUGGUACCAUAUGUAGGAGACAAUCAGCGCAUAAGAAGUCUACAUCCUUACCCUGAUUUCAUCGGGUCUGUCUGGUUCAUCCGACCUAUAUAGAGGUGAAUUCAUUUUCGAUCACUGAGGUCGGCCAUAUCUACACUCAAAGCUUUGUUGUAAUAUGAGCUUUGAAGAGUUCUGCCCAUCUUCUCCAGGCUUAAGAGGUCGAUCUCUCCAUUCCGUAAUUUGGUAAACUCAGGGGUGUUGGAGGUCUGAUUCUUUACACUCAAUAGAUCAGGGCUUUCUAUUAUCCAUUCGACCAAAUGAAAAGGUUCAUGAUGACUACUAGGCCUGGAAUACCCAGGCUAUGGUCGAGCCCAUGUUGGAAAGGUUGACUUUAUCAAGGUCCAAUACGCACCCCCUCCCCAGUACGCAGCCCAUAACUCACUUGAACGGGCCAAAUAGGACAAAGCUCAGGUCCAUGUAAAGGAGGUCUAGCCCAAUCGACUUGAUGGAUCCACGGGGCAAUAGACCCCUGCACAUCCGAGAUUGUGUCCAUAUAGAGUCGAAGGGAAUUAAAUGGUCGCGACACAAUACAUUCGUAUGUACGACCCAGCGUGACAGUGACAGGACAUACAGAUGCAGGUCGGCAAUUACGCGUUACUAGAAGACAGGAAAAAUAUAAACCAAUAAAACCAAACUUACCAAAACAUACUUUAAUUGCGUUACUAGAAGACAGGAAAAAUAUAAACCAAUAAAAUCAAACUUACCAAAACAUACCUUAAGUCUACUAUUUACUGGAUUUAACAUCAAUUCGCAUACCUCUUCUAAAUCACGUGUACAUAUGUUAUUAUCUUAAUGAAAUUUAUUUUGUAUAUGUUAUAAUAUCGAUUUUUUUAAAUUAAAUUUUAAAAAAAAUAUGUUAUUUUGUUAGAUGAUAUGUCAUAAAAUAAUUUCUUUAUAUAUAAUAUUGUUUAUGAUUAAUUGUGUGGCAGCUGUUGCCCUCCAUAAAGACAAUUACAAAAGAAGGCAAGGAUUUGGGGACAAUAAACCCCGGAGAUAGUGGAAUUGUGAGCAAGAGUAGCUAUUUCAGAUACACCGGCUCUCUCACCAAUCCUCCAUGCACUGAGGGAGUUGUUUGGACUGUUCUCGAUGAGGUUUUUAACUUUAAAAAUAUAAUUUAUUUUCCCUAUUUAUAUUAUGCAUGCCUUAUUUUUCAUUUUUAUUAUAUACCCUUUUGCCCUUUCUUUUCUUUUUUUUUUUUAUUUAUCUUUUUAAUAAAUUAAAUAGCAUUUAAUUAUCACAGGUGAAGAUGGUUUCAGCUGAGCAGCUAGAUGCCUUGAAGAAGGCAGUUGAUGCUGUAAGUCUAUAAUUAUUAUUAAUUAAUUUUAUUUAUUUUCAUAUUAAUUACUGAAUUUUCUUUUUGAAAUUCAGGAAUUUAAAAUGAAUUCAAGACCACUCCAAGCACUAAAUGGAAGGCCAGUCAAAUUUUACAAGGCUGCACAAUGAUUCAUUGCUAUGGAUUUGUCAAUCUUUCUUUGCAAUUAUAGCAGAGAACCAUAUCUUGUUGGCACUAUCUCCGGGGUUAUACUAGAAAGUUAUUUGCGUGAUGUGAUGUGAUCAAAACACAUAAACAAAAAAAUUUAUUAAAAUAUAAAUCCAUACAUAUAUCAGUUUGACAUAUUCUCGUUUUAUCCUUUUUCAGAAAAAUUAAAAAUAUAUUUAUUAAUAUAUUACCAUAAAAAAAUAUUACAUACCAUGAUAUUAAUUUUAUACUUACCCUAAUUAUGCUGGAUAGAAUUAUAUCAAUGAAAUGUUAUAAAUUACAGAAAAAAAAAAUAUUAAAACCAGGUUGACUUUUUAAUUAAAUAUGUUUGAUUAGUUUCAUAUGCGAAAUAAUAUAAACUAGUAAAUAAAAUUUUAUAUAUAUAUAUUAAAAAUUAAUAUUCUUUUUAUUUCAUAAUUUUUAUUUUUUUUAUUAUUUCAAAGGGUACAACAACUUGUUGAAAGCAAAGGGGGACGUAUCAACAUCAAUUGCAUUGCAAUUAUAGUUGUAGGCUUCUCUUCCAACACAUCAAACAUUCAAGGUUUUUUAUUAAACCACUUGAGAAUCAAACAAGUGAUUCUUUGAUCCCAAACAAAAUCAAAAAAAGAUUUGAGGAAAAGAAGAAAUUAUAACCCCCAGAGUUUGGCUAACUCAAUAAGAUAACCCAGUCCUGUCAUUCUGAUUUAUAGUUCAUCCCAUCAAGAGGUUAAAACUGAGUUCAAAUUCUCAAAAUUAUGAGAAAAAAAGAGUAUAAACCCUGCAUAAACAACAUUUUUAACGUUCAAAAUUCACUCGUUAGCUCCAUUUGCUUCGGUCUUCCUCUUCAUCCACCGGAGUAUACCACUCUGGCUGUCGCUUUGAGUUGCUCAACCGGUAGUUCAACAGCACUUCUUCAUCACAAAGUGCCCUAGUAGCUACCAAUACGAGAGCCUUCAGAACCGGAACAUCGGACCCACUCUUUUUUGCCUUAGAUCUAUACCAAAAGCUCCCAAAUCUUCUCAUAUUCAUUUCUUCUUUUGAGUUGCCAAAUAGUAUAUUUGGUAUAUAGGUUCUCAUGUCCUUCUCAGUCAAUGGGAAGUCAUAUGGGCAAAUCAUGACAUUUGGAGCCAUACCCUUUGCUGGAUGAUUGGCAAAAUGAGCCAAAGCUAAAGGGUUCCUCCGCUCCAGGACCUCACUGCUACAACUAACUUGCAUCCCUUCUACAGGCUUACUGAGCAUUUUCCAGAACAGACCUGAACCUUUUUCGCUACUUUGCACAUCAGGCCUGAUCUCUGGCACAAGUGACCCAUUCCACAAUUCACGCGCUUCACCCCCAGAACCCCAGGGCUGGGAAUCGAUUACAGUACCAUCAUACCUUGUGAUCAAGUGUGUGUUAUGGGCAUCAACUCUUGGGUAUCCAGGGAUAUGGCUAUAAUAAGCUGGGGAGUAUAUCACGCCAGGGUACAAAGCAAUCACAGUGCCAACAUCAGCUUCACCGUCUACAAAUAGGCCUUGUCCAGCUUCUUUGUGGGGUAUCUGAGAUUCUUUUAGACCAAGUGUGUACCCACUUUGAUCUUUCAACCUCCAUGAAACUUCAGCACCGUUCAAUGGCCUUGUUUCAGGUAUAGCUGUUCUGAAAAGCAUCAGUGAUCAGAAGGGUAGAAGUUCAGUCAAAGGUUAAAUAGCUUGUACUUCCAUAUCAAUAGGAAAUUUAGAUGCAGACAUCGCAGUCAAAAUGACAUUGCUCACAGCAGAAAAGAUUAAGCAAUAUAUAGUCAUCAGUUAUUUGGUGAAUAAUAUACUAUGGAAUAGGGAUUCUCUUUCUGAGAUACUAUGAAUCCUCCGGUCUGACCAUCUCAGAAUCAGACACAAAUACGGACCGGAAAGACAUAAAUCCAAAGAAAGAGGUUGUUUGGGAUGCUGAAGCCAAAUACAAAAGAACAUAGGAAGCAAAAAUAAGAGUAGGGUGAUAUGCAAUCAUCAGGAUUAUUUUAUAAAAGUGAUGCACAUCUGCUCUGCCAUAUCUCAUUUUUAUUCUAUUUUCACUGCUGACAACAUCAGGGGAAAACUUUGUACAACUAGAAUUAGGCUAGGUUUCAUAGAAUUAAAGAAAUUUGAGAUAAAGGGAGAUCUGAUUUUAGAAUAUAAACAUUAUAUAUAUGUAUAUAGGGAUUGAAAAAGGCAAAAGAAAAAUGUUAAAUAAAUCAAAGCCACACAUAUAAUAAAUAGAGCAAAGUACUACCAUGUCUCUGAAGUUUAAUUUAAUUAAUUAAUAUAUAUCUUAACUUUUAUAAUUACAUUAAAAAGUCCCUACAAUUUGCUUCCGUUAACGAGCAAGGACAUCCAUCCAAUUAAUAGCAAUUCUCCCGUUAAUUAGUGAUGAAAAUACCUUAUUAGCCUCAAUUAAAAUAAAAUAGAACAAGGAAAAAGAAUCCCUAACACACUCCUCUUCUCCUACUCUCUAAAAGAGUAAAGGAAUGAUCAGCCAUGCAAGUCCUUAAUAACAACUAGGUAAUCAUAUUUGACCGCAUUUCCAUCAAUGUUGGCCUCUAUAAUGUAUUUCUCUCUCCAACGAAAAGUGUUCUAACAAUCAUGAGGACUACUGCACUGCAAAUAUGAUCUUAUACAUAUCAUGGUUUUUUUAUCCAAAACUUCCAGUUCUACACUCUCAUACAAACUCCUUCACAGUUGACAGUACUAGAUGUCUGUUUAGGACAUGCGAGUGCAUUUCUCGCUCACAAUAGUUCUACUUUGAAAGCUUCUGCUCAUCAUCCAAUUUUAUUUAAUUUAUUUGAUAUCAUUUAGCUCUGGACUUGGUGUGUUCGGUAUGCAAAUCUGAUGAGAAAAAAAAUUUUAAUAUUAUCUUAAAUAGUUAAAUUUAUUUAUUAGAUGUGAUUUGUUUAAUUAUCCAAACAACAUAUCCCGCAUCAUCAAGAUGGCCCUAUAAAAUAAUCAUAGAAGAAAGCACGCCUAAGAUGGACAGUAACAAACCUAAACUUUCUUUUCAUGAAUUAAUGAUUCCUUUUGUUUACUAGUAUGCAGCCAUGUAAACAGGCAAUAGGCUCUUUUUGUAAAACUUCAGAAAUGUUGCUCGAUGAGCCUAGAAUUGUUAUCAAGUUGAUAUUUCUUAUGAGUAACUUCUUCACCUAGUCAUUGCUCUUUCUAUUUUUUUUUCUUUUUUUUUCCAUUUUAUAUCUCCACCUCUAGUCUGUUAGGUUUACCAAACUUUGAUUUUUGCCAUCCUUUUUACAGGUAAAAUAAUUUACAUGUUUUUCUUUCGAUGGGCUUUGCCACUUUACAUUUUCAUGUUCCAAGUAACUUUAUUAGAUCCCUAUUUAAUGACCUGCUCAUUUGAAAUGUAUCUGUUGAAAUCUAAAUAAAAUAAUAUAGUUCAUCCUCUUUGUUGAUGUUAUGAACUAGAGAGCCCAUUUACCUUUCAGUGUGAUCAAUUUGAAGUGCAAAAACAACAAAGUGGCAUCUAUAGAAAAUGGGUGCAUGGAUCACCAAAAUUCUGUAAGGAGCCAUUUGAAUUGGUGUGAAUUUAACGCAAUUGGUCACUAAAGGACAAAAUCUCAUACCAUUUAAUGCAAUUGGUGUGAAUUUAAUGCAAUUGAGGUGCCAUUCAUGGGGUCUUAUAUAUGUGUUAAAUUGUCUAUAAGCAACAGUUGCUCCCUCCUAGUUGAAGUUGACAUAGUUAACAUGGAGAGAAAGUUUGCAUGAUAUUUUGAGAGAUAGAGCUACUGACUUGUGGAAGGACAAUGGAGUUCUCUCCUCAUUUACUUGUAAUUUUGGAGGGUAUUUUGCGUAAUAUAAAUGUUUGACCAAGUUAUAUUUAAGGGACUAAGGAUGCAAUUGCUAUUAAUUAGAUUAAUUAGAUGGAUGUCCUUGCUUAUUAACUGAAUCAAAUUAUAGGGACUUUUUAAUGUAAUUAUAAAAGUCAAGGGAUAUUUUAAUUAAUUAAGUUAAACUUCAAGGAUAUGGUAGUAAUUUGCUCUAAAUAAACUAACCAAUAUAUAAAAAUAACAAAACCAUAUCUUGUUAGUAUAUUAAUCAAAUACAGAGUAUAGACUAUAGUACUCAAUAAUAUAUACUCGAAAAAAAAAAGCAUUUUUUUCACCAGAAUAUUUUUCUAAGAAUGCAACAAGAUAAACAAAAUAAAAAUAAACGAAGAAGAAAGAUGGGCAAGGCAGGGGAAAAAGUAUUAUUAGAUAUCAAAAUGAAAACAUACAUGAUCCAUCAAAAUGUCAAUAAUCAUGCAUGUCAAACACAAUAGUAGGACAAGUAAUAUUGGUUAUAUAUAUUGAACAUCCAAAAGUGUGCCAGAUACAACUUUAUUAAUCAACAAACUUGGGAAGUCCUUUAAAAUAAUAUUUUUGUUAAAAUUUAAAAGCUUCCAGUAAACUAGAACUAACUAGUAAAUAAGAUCAUGUAUGCAAACUCACCUGGAGACACAGUACGACUACUCUUUCCAACAGCCAAACUGAGGCCACUUUGACACGGAGCUGUAUCUGACUGUCCCAACGGUUCACCUGGCUCAUUUCUCUUAUUUGUAUCAGGAUUAAGAAUUUCAUCCAUAGCUGUGCAGAAAUUUCCAAUUUGAUAGUGGAUGUUUUCUUGGACUUGCUUCUGCUGAUCAGCAACAGAAGCUUUACUAGCCAUUUCAAUGAUCUCUUCUGCAUCUGCCUCUUCAGCAUUCCUCCCCAGACGAUUGUAGCUAAAGAAUUUACAAUUUCAAAAAAACAAGUCAAGUUACUUUGAAACGUUCAAGUGACAAAGUUGGCAUCCAGUUAUCACCAAAAACACAUGAUAUAUGGAGGGAACUUACAAGACUAUAAAGAAAUAAAUGUAGUACAAUAAUAAAAUCUUUGAUGUCAUCUUGUUUCUAAAAAGAAAUAAAAUAGUAACAUGAAAUUUCAGUGCAACAUCAGUAUAAGAUUAAGUAGCCUUUCCAAUAUUUUAAAACUGGUGCUAAUAUAUGUUAGUAUCAUGUGAUGUUACUCAUAGUUAUUUGGAAGACAGUACUCUAUGUUGCAGUAUGGGUAUGUGAUACACAGCAUGCCCCGUAAUGUGUAUAUACUAUAUGGUAAAAAGGAGUAGACUUGCUAUGCAAUUUGAUUCAAUAUACUUGGUACACAAAUAUAUUUAUGGGGUAUAAUUAACUUUUGAUUUAAUUUGAUUUAGCAUAAUAAGUUAAAGAACAAUUAAACUUUAUUUAAUAUGAUAAGAAUAUUUGAAUAUUUGAUAUGGAAUGGAUUCAAAUAAAAUCAAAUGGCAAAAAGGUAGCCAUAUAACUGAACCUAACUAAUUUGGGAUUACAGCUUAGUUGUUAUUAAUAAUUUAUAUUAAGAAUUAAGAUACACAUUAUUCAAAAUUUGCGAUAUUAUUAUUAUCAUAUUUUAAAUAAUUAAAAAUAUAAUUAAUUAUAAUUUCUUAAAAACUCACUUAUUCGGCAGUAAAUAAUCAAGAGGUUUUGUGUCCCAUAACUUUUUGGGAUGCAAACAUCAUGGUAUCCACAGGGUGAGUCAGUGAGAGAGUUGAUAACCAUGGUAUUACAACUUGACUGAAAACUGGGGGAGAAAAAACAAGAGAAUUUGAAGCAACAACAUGUACAUUUAUUAGGGGUUUCCAUAAUCUUGAGACGACUAUGACUUUUGACAAUGCUCAAGUUUCUCACAUCACUGACCAUGGUCCUCCCUUUCUCAAAAAUACCAAUAUGUCUGUAAAUGUACAUUUCAAUGAGGUAUACUUGUAGUUAUUUUGCAGGAGGUUCAAAUUCAGAAGAAGUUGACUGUUGUAUGAAAGGAUAAGCUCUACAAAAUUAUACAAAAAUUUACUAUGAGGUAGAAAAUAUGUAGGUCUGAUCAAGCUAUCUGAUUCAUGGAACCGUUUUGGUAUAAUAACAGAAAUUGCCAUAUGAAUAAUUGGACAAUGACAAACCAUAUAAAGAAGUUAUCCAGCAUUGCACCAUUUAGCAUUAGAGAACCCAUGAAUACAUACAUCAUAAUGUAGCAGCUGAAUAAAAAAUAAAUAAUGAAGUAUAUUCCAAAAAAUUGCACAUCUGAGACAUCAAUAUAGGUUUUUACUAUUUAGAAAAUUGAUAAAAUCAUCAAAAUAAUAAAAGCAAGAGAGAACUAUAGGAGCUAGAUGAUCCAAAAAGAAAAUAUGCAAACCUUUAGCUGCAUUUCCAAUUUUACUGAAGCUUCUAAUUUCCUUUUUUCUAUUUGAUCCUCAAUCUUUGAUAUUAGUUUCAUAUUUAGCAAUUGGAUUAUUUAUGCAGAAAAUUGCUCAAGUUAAUCAUGUGUUUGCAUCUAUCAAAUAACUUGAUCGCCAAAAAUUGAAAUGUUAUAUAUAAUACGAUCUGGAUAAUGAGCCACUCAUGACAUACAAACAAUAACAUCUAGCAAAUGCAAAUGAAAGUGAAUAAAAAGCAAGAGAAAUUAGUAUAGGAGCCAAAUGACCAAAAAAGUCCAAAUUUUUACCUGCAUUUCCAAUUUUAGCCAAAGCUUCUAGUUUCUUUUUUCAAUUUGAUCCUCAAACUUUGACACUAGUGUCGUUUUUAGCAACUGGUUUAUUUAUGCAUAAAAUUGCUUAAGUCAUGUCUUGUCUAUGCAUAUAGUUUGGACGAGAUUUUAUGUCAUGUCUUUACUAAUUCCAGCAGAUUUUACCAACUAAGCUAGCCAAAAAUUCCAAAGCCCACAACCACAUGUUUUUUUUACUAUAAAACAUGGUAGGUUAUGAUAAAAAUGUGUUAUAUUUAACUUAGUUAGAAACUGCUAAUAUUCAUUCUGUUCUGAUAAAACUAUAAUCUACCAACCAAAUAAAAACAAUUAGAUUUUUAUCAUUACAGGAAUAUGUUCCUAUCUUGGCGACAUUCAAUACUUAUUUAGGAACUAUUUCUUCAAUAAAUCAUGGAUGAUUUACCUGAAACUAAACCAAGAGAUUUCAAGUUUAGUACAAUAUUUGGUUGCAAUGUAGAAGCUAAUAUUGUCAAGAGAAACAUCAAUAUUAAAUGAGCAAUGUGGAAAGUCUGCAUCCAAAUGUGUAAUGAAGAUAAAUUACUGCAGAAAUAAGAGAUGUGAGGCCCUACUAUAAUAGAAAACAGUAAAAUAACACUCAAAGGAACACAUCUUAAAUGUGACUGGACUAGUCAAACUGGUGCGUUGGUUACUUGCUUAUUACCAGGCUCAUAACAGAAUCAAGCAUAAAAAGGACAAAUAAAAACGGUCAAUGGUUCGAAAAAUCACAUAUGUGAAUUCUUAAUCAAUUAAAAGGUCUCUAAUAUAAAUCUCAAAGCCAAGCUAGAACAAAUGGUAAAAUAAUAUGAAUGAAAUUCCCUUUGUCCACAUGAAUUCUACAUUCAAACGUGGCAAAUUAUAACCAGUGAUCAUUUCAACAGCAAAUGUACAGUUACCUGGUAUAUAGGAAAAGGCGAUUUAUGUCCACUUCAAACUGUAGCUGCCUUGGAUCUCUGGCAAAAGUAGGACUUCUUGCAAGAACCUUCACAGCCUAGAAUUAUAAAUGAGAAACCACAGCUAGUCAUCAAGAAGUGGAAGUGCCAAAGCAAGGCUCAAUAUCAAAUUAGCUCGCCAACUCUUUUAGCUAUUGGAUUAAAUAAUGUGGAAUCCUUAGACAUGUGAUUGAACAACUUUAAAAUCCUUUUGAGUUUAAUAGUUGAGAACUAGAGUUCAUACAAGCUUGGACAUUUCCGAGCCAGCUCUGAACAUGGAGAAACAUCUUUUUCUAUUGUAGAAAGAUGGAACCAUGUAACUCCUUUACAAAACAAAAUAAGAUGCUUUAAGAAUCCAGCCUCCCUCUUUUUUUCAGUGUUUUCUUUCUCAGGGCCUAUUGGCAUUUGGCAAGGUUACACAACAGACAGUAACAUUUCCACCCUUUACAGGUAUGAUUGUAAUCCAAUCCCAAAUCUCUUUUCAGACUAUUCUAAGUGACUAUGCAAAACCAACACCACAAGAAACACCAACCAGUUUAUUUCUCUCGCUAGAAGCUUGACAAGCCAGUUAAACAUUCAUCGAAUUUAGAUUCUAUCUUCUGCUUCUUCCGCUGACAUAUUCAUUAUAUCUUCCAUUUAAUUCAAUAACCCUUAUAAUCCUCACAUCCCUUAAGAUUUCCUCGUAUAUUUAGAAAAUUUUCCUUCUGUCCUAUAUCAUCCUAAGUUGAAUCAAAAUCCAGUCAUUUGCCCAAAACAAUCGAUUAUUGAUCUUAUGCAUUUAGUUACUAUGAAAUUGAACCAAACUAAACAAAAUAUAUAAAUUAUGCUAAAAGAGAGAUAGAAAGAGAGAGAUUUCUGUUCAUACCUCUUGAAACUUGUUAAACAGAAAAGCCAUUGCAAAUUUCAGCAGCUGAGAAAACCUUCUUGUCCGUGUUCACUACCAGCUCAGUGGACUUGCCAAGGAACAGAAUUUCCCCAAUUUGAAACAAAGCACUUGGAGCUUCCUUUUCGCCGAAGAUGAUGGAGGCUGCGUAGCAGUUGAACGAGGCGGAGGGGAACCGGAAUUUUGCUUCACCCUCUGUUUGGAUAGUUGUGAAGAGAAAUCGAAGUGAAAAAAAAAAAGAAACCCGAAUAUAUCGUAUCUAAAAAAAAGUCUGAAUCAUCCGGGGGCUAACAAUUUCAAAUCUGCUACCCUUAAUAUUUAAUAAAAUUUAAUAUAUUUAAAUUGAAUAUAAUUAAAAAAUUAUAUUUUUAAUAUUUAUAAAAAUUAAAAUAAAUAAAAAAUUAUGUGACAUAAAAAUUAUCAAUUAAAAUAAUUUAAAAAAUUUAUUAGCUGUGUUUUUUUUUUUUCAAUAAAAUUUAUAAGCUAUAUUAGAGGUGAACAUUCGGUCGGUUCGAUUUAAAAUCGAACCGAAUUGAAUAAACUGAAAAUCGAAAUUUUAAUGUUUAUAAAAACCAAACCGAAUCGAUUUUGAUCAGAAAUCGAAUCGAAUCGAAUCGGUCUGAUUCGGUUCGAUUCGGUUUGAUUUGAUUGAUUUUCGCUUUUUAAUAUUUUUUUUUUAUUUUUAUCCUUAUUUUUAAUAUUUUAAAAUUUAAUUAAAAUAUUUUAAUUUUAAUAUGAUUUAAUUUCUCUAUAUUAUUAAAAAAACAUAUUAUUAUUACUAAUCGGUUUGAUUUGAUUUUUUCAGUUUUUUCUGAUCAAAAUCGAACCGAACCGAAAUAACCUAAAUUUUUUAAAUUAAAAAUCAAAUCGAACUAAAAUAUAUAAAAAAAUCAAACUAAAUUUUUAAAUCAAAUCAAUUUGAUCGAUUUUUUUUAUUUGAACCGAAUACUGCUCACCCCUAACUGAUGUUAUUCUCAAUUAAUUUGAUCUUAAGCUUUUCAAUUAUAAUUCAAGAAAAAAAAUUUCUAAACCAAACUCUUGAAUUUUCACAAUUUUAGCAAUAUUAUUUGACCUUUUUGCCCAUAGAUUAUCAUGCCCCUGUUUUGAUAGUAGAGAAAUAGAAUUUCCUCUUGAAUAAAAAUUAUGAUAAUAAAGUUUUAUGCUCUUAUCAGAAAGAAAAGUUUUAGAAAAAUAAGUAUAUUUUAAUAUUAUUUUUUUUAUUUUUCUCCAUAUUUUGCUAUUUUAAACAUAAAUAUUUUGGUUAAAUGCAAAUUGAUUAUAUUUUUUAUUUUUUUUUAUUUUUUCCUUUAUAGUUUUUUUCUAAUAAAAAAAUAGAGAUUGAAAGUAAAAUUUAAAAUUUCUCAAAUUUAUUCCAUGAUCUAAAUUUGUGAAUGCAAAAAUUUUGUAAUUUUAACUUGUAUUCUAAUAUUAUUAUUUAAUUUGCCUGUGUUUAGAUUGUUCAAAAGAAAAAAUCAUUAUUGAAACGGCAUAGUCGUCAUCUUAGAUACUCAUAAUCUAAAACCUCUUGUCAGCAAGGAUUUUCAAACUUAAUAUAUUUAAUUAAUUUUCAAGCUUUAUAUAUUUUUAUUAAACUUAAUUAUUUAAUUAAUAUCUCUUAAUCACUCAAUCAAAAUAUAAUAUCAACUAAAAUUUGUAUAAUUCACCUACAGAAAUAAUAAUUAUUUUUUAAAAAGAGUAAUCAUACUUUUUAUUUUAAUAAUUUAUAUAAAGAAAUAAGUUUAAAUACACAACUCAAAUUUUCAUUGAAAUUCAAAUAAACUAAAUUUAAUAUUUUUAAUUAAAAAAUUCAUAACUUUAUGUUUAAGUUCGAACUAGUCCCAAUUGAAAAAAUAUUUUUAUUAGAAUAGAAUGUAAUUAUUGAUAAUAUUCUUAUCAGUUUUUUUUUUUUUUUCCGCGGGAUCAUUCUUUGAAUUUCUUAAACAUGCAAAAGUGAAUUUUCACCAUUAACAUAAGAAAAUGUCUUUCUACAAAUAGAAAAUAGGAUUUAAAAUUUAACUUUUCUGAGAAUGAAAAAUAAAUACUUUCUAAUAUCAUUAAAUGAUUAAGGUCAUAUAUUUUAUUAAAAUUAAUUACUUAUUUUACAUUUUUUAAUUACUCAAUUAAAAUAUAGGGUGAAUGGGUUAAUAAUGACUUUAUCCGAAAAAAACUAAAACAGUUUUUAUUAGAAUAGAAUUCAAAUAAUUGAACUUUUACACAGGUAUACAUGAUUUUCAUUUCUUUUAAAAUAUUUUUUUAAAAAAAUUAAAAAUUUACAUUCCAAUAAAAAUUAUUUACAUAAGUAAAUCAAAUAAUGGAUUAUUAUAAAAUUUUUAAUUUCAAACUGGAAUUUCACUUCAAAAAGAUAUAAUAUUUUUUUCUUUUAAAUUAUAUCUCUUUUAUUUUAAUAAGUUAUCUAUAUAAUCACUUAACAAAUAUUAAAAUUAGCAGUAAAAAGAAUUUUACGACAACAUUAAUUUUACUGUUAUAUAGACUAUCAAUAUUUAUUGUUAUUGGUAUAUAAAAAAAUAUAAUAAGAAAUAAAAAUAAUCGACAUUAAUAAAAAAUUAUUUUCGACAGCAAUAUUUAUUAUCAAUAAUAAUUAUAUUUUUAAUAACAACCAUAAUUUUAUAACAGCAACUUACAUCGCUGUAUCUAUAACAAUAAUUUAUAGCAGCAAUUACCCUCAACAUCCGCAAACCAUCCAUUAGAACUUUUAUUGAGAGGAUUUUAAACAAUAGAGCGUCAAGAUAGCUUCAUUGUUUCAUUGACUACUCCAUCUCAAAUUUCUCUAUAAUUGCCAUGGAAUUCAGACUCCUAAGCAAAUGGGUUGAAUAUCAUAAAUGAUGAGAUCUAAGGUCUCAUGGAUGUAAGACACGUGAUGUAAGGAGUAAUCUUAGAGAUGAGAGGAGAUACUAGAGUAAUAUUUCAUGCCAGACUUAAUGGUGGAUGAUGGAAGCGUAUAUGGGAUUAUAGGUUUAACUAUCUUAACAAUUGAGAAUCUGUUUUUGACAAUUCUAUAUUUUGAUAAUUAUUUUUUAAGCCAGUCUUCACUUUUCUAGGUUCCUUUCUAUUAAUUUCGAUCAUGUCAGUUGCUUGAUAAUCUCAUGACUGAUUUCAAAAAUUAUGCUACGUCCGUACAGAAUAUUUAUAGUAGGCAGUUGGCGGUUGACCAUUUAAUGUUGAGCUGGCUAAAAGAAAAUGGAAGCCAUAUAUUUAGAACUUGAUAUGACCGAUACAGUCUCUAUUAUAUUUUUUUUGCAUUUCAAAUAUGGUAAUAUUAUCACCCUGGUCUUUACUCUCCAAAAGAGAUGAACUUUGUGAUCUGAAACGAAGAUAAAUCACAACUUUCAUGCAGCUAGUCUUCGGAAUCAUAGAAGAGCCGGGUCAUGCAAAAAUUUCGGGUCCCUAUCUUCGGUUCAAGCUCACUGAAAUUGAUGGGUAUAUAACUGUGUGCUAAUUUGUUUUGCAAAAUUCAACGAGGACAACAUUCAAAGGUGGUCUAUAAGGGCUACAUUGAACUGUGCCUUAUAAUCCCAAAUUUUCAUGUAUCCAAAUACAACCUUGUUAAAAUUUUCAUUUCUACGACAUCUGACCAAGGAUACCAUAUCAAUGUGGAACUAAUAAGACUGCACACUAAAAUUCAUUAUACAACGAAAAAAGUUUUACAACAUAACCAAACGUUAGCAUAUUUAUUACUAAACCAGUGAGCGAGUGGUAAGCACUAACCAAAAACACACAAAAGAAGCCAUGAGAACUUCCAAAUUCAGAGUCCAAAACCCUUUAAAUACAUUGAACUUUCAUGCUAUGAGGAAUGGCAGAACGGUUAGCAUGAAGGCCUCAUAAGUGAAAGUUGCCGAACCGGAAUAUGUGGAGUCCUUCUCUUUGAAUUUCUCAGUCAAACCCUGAAAUUAAAGCAAGAUAAAGCAUUUUGUGAAAAAUUUAGAACUCAUCUAAUGUAUGUUUCAAGAUAACAACCCACUCAGGUUUCAAUAAUUUUUUUAUUGUUUCCCUUUCCAGGAAAUCAGAAUAUGGAUAGAAAGUUUGAUGGUAAGACAGAGGUUAGUGGAAUUUUCAUAAUCUAAUGCUUAUUCCGCCCAAGGGACAUGAGCAAAAAAAAUACUUGACAACAUAAAAAGAUUCAUUUGUAAAUCCAACAAUUUUUGUACUCCUUAGCCUGCACCAAAAGUCAUUGGACAUCUAAAAUAAAUUCAAGUUGCAUAAAAGCUGAUUGUGAAAAGUUGCACUUGCAUAUAACUGAUACAUCAAACAACUGAAAAGAUUUUGCCCAUUACAGCCACAUUUCCGCUUUCCAGGCAUCAUAGAGUAAAGAUUCACGAAAGCAAUACAGCUAAAAGUAGUAAUAAUCAUUAAAUAACUCACCUUGACAGUAAGACAGCACCUACAUAGAAAGUAAAGGAAAGAAAAGAAUUAGCUUUUGAUGCAAUAAAAAUUAAAUGCAACUACUAACAAUGUUUGAAAAACUUACUCAAUGAAAUUGUCAUAUUCAAUGGCCCUAUUUUUGCCUCCACUUUUAUCAAACUUAGAAACCAACAAAUCCAAAACGACCGGUGAUACAGCAAACCCUAAACUAUAUAAGGCCUCCUUCAGCUCAUUAGAAUCAAUCCUGCCACUCCUAUCCCUAUCAAAUCUAUCGAAAAUGGACUGCAAAAAACAUAGAUGCCACAGAAUCAGAUUUAUAUAUAAGAACAAGGUCUAUUCAAAUAGAAAAUCGAAAUUCCCACAAAAAAAAAAAAUUACCCUCCAGCUCUGAAGACUGUAGAAUACUGAGGUGAAUUCCUUUGGCCCUGUAUUAAAAAUUCCAAAAAAUUAAAGCUUUUUAAAAGAUAUUUGCUUUUUUUUAGUUUUUCACAUGCAAGAUAGAUAAUGUAUUAAAAGACUGCUAAAUGCAGCAACAGAAGAUAACCGAUAACAAUAUUUGUUUUUUCGAUUAAUCCGGCGUAAGCAAAUUAAUUGAAACGCGUGAGAGAUCAGGACAAAAGAUAUGGGCCCGUUGUUGGUGACCUAACUCAACACCCAAUCAUUAAAAAAAUUGGGUGCUUCCGCGUCUUUCACUCUCGUGUGAAACCGGUUCAAGGAAAAAUCACACCGUUGAAUCGGCAGUUUGGUUGAAUAAGAUUAUUCAGUACGGCGCAAUUUAGUUAAUACGCGAUAAGACUUUGUCAGUAUUCGUGGCGCAACUCGGAAAGGCAAAAUUUCAAGCAAUUUAAGGCAUUCUCAACGCCUGGCGCACAUCAGAAACAGCGAGCAACCUUUUGCUAAAGUGCACAUAUUCACUAAUGCUUUGUUUGGUUUGGAAGAAAUGGAGAGAAGAUAAAAGAAAGAAAAUUUUAAAUUCCUCUUGUUUGGACAUGAAUUAAGAGGAGAAAAGAAGGGAAAGGAAAGGAAAGGAAAAGGAGGAAAAAUUAUAUUUCCCAAUUUAUUAUAAAUGCCCCAAUAAAUUCCCCCCAAUUUAGUGGGAAGCGAGGGAAAUAGAUAUAAAGCACCAACAUAUUCUUCUUUUCUGUAGAGGAGGAAAUUAAUUUCUACUCUAAAUUACUUAUUAAUCCAAACAAUACAGAGAAAAUCAAAAUUCUUUUCCAUUUUCUUAAUUUCCUCUCUUUAAUUUCUCUCCAAUUCUCUUGCACAAUUAAGGAUCCAAAACAUAGAGUAAAUGCAACGAAAAUUUGAAAUGAUUUGAACAAGAAAAUAAGGGAAAUCGUAAUUACCGAUCUUCCUGCUGUUGGUGUUGGUGAAAUGAAACAGGAGAAGAUGAACGGUCCUCAAACUGAAGCUCUGAUCAUAACUAGAGAGCGCUCUCUGCAAUUCCUUGUCGUCGAUGAACCCACUGCCGUCCUGAUCAGCGAGUUGGAAGCACGCAACGACGUUGGGAUCCGUCCCUGGAGGAAAAGUGGAGGGUACUAGUGAGGCGAACGGGCUUCCAUACGGAGCUGACGGUGGGUAACCGCCGUGUGCGGGAGCAGAGGAGUGAGGUUUGUCCUUUGGUGGCUUGUCGCCCGGAGGUGGUGCAUAGGGUGCACCGUAGGGGUGAGAAGGCGGCGGCGUACCGUAAGGCUGAGAAGGCGGUGGUGCACCGUAAGGCUGAGAAGGCGGUGGUGCACCGUAAGGCUGAGAAGGCGGUGGCGCUCCGUAUGCAGGAGCGGUUCCGUAAGAUUGGGAUGUCGGUGGAGCACCGUAGCCGUAGCCUGCCGGAGGAUGAGGAUAACCGGACAUGGUGUAGCGUGAAAACUUUUUGGGUUUCGA
RNAcentral lists this long non-coding RNA (58925 nucleotides) under Manihot esculenta (cassava). RNAcentral's name for it is "long non-coding RNA (MESC_LNC005132)". Lineage: Eukaryota; Viridiplantae; Streptophyta; Magnoliopsida; Malpighiales; Euphorbiaceae. The record is from RNAcentral.